This 86127-nucleotide long non-coding RNA is filed under the name Citrus maxima (pomelo). RNAcentral's name for it is "long non-coding RNA (CMAX_LNC003018)". The record is from RNAcentral. Lineage: Eukaryota; Viridiplantae; Streptophyta; Magnoliopsida; Sapindales; Rutaceae.
ACGGUGGAGGUAAACGUCGGAUGCUCUUUCCUCGCCUGAAUGAAGGAAUCAUGUAAGGACUAUUAAAAACAUACGACGGUAUGUACGCUCGGCCGAACUUACUAUAACUAUACCCAGAGGUGCCUCAAUGAAGACCUGCACGCUCUCCCCACUAACAUCCCCGUAGAAACUAUACAAUGACGUAGGAGUAGAAAAAUUUUGAUUGCCCACAUCAGUAUACACUCCAUAGUCAUCUGGGGCUUAUCCAUUUGGCAAGAUGAACAUUUUAAACAACUAUCAAAUUAAAAGUUAAACGAACACAAUUGUUAAAUUUAAAUUUGCUCACCGGAUACAAGCGUCCAGUGGGAGAAUCUUUGUUUGGACGUUUAGACAGUGAAUCGAUAAAUCCCACCACGGUUUCUUUAAAAUCUUUAAAUUCUGAUUUCAAUUCAUAAAUGUUACGAUCAAUCUUGUCCAUCUGUCAUCGCAUAUAAUCAUUAAGUUGCUUUGUUCUUGACUAUUACAAAAAAAUGAAGUAAAAUUUUAUACUAACAGUAAAAAAUAAUGAUUUAUAUAUAAAGAAAAUAAAUUAUUUAUAACCUCGGAAUCAUGUGCGUCAUUAGACGUGUCUGUCUGCUCCUGAUGGUCAUCUACAGGCACCUCAUCCUCAGAAGUCUCAUGACGCUGCUUUGAUGUUGGGCUUGGCAUAUCGUCAUGCUCGUCUGAUUGUCUUGUAACGGACGGCUGCGCGUUGAUUGAGGGUUGGUGCUGUAUAAAGUAGCAUUUAAAAUAAGGAAAUAAAAAGUCAAAAAUUUCGAUUAAAUAAAUAAUAGUACUUAUAAGAUACCUACUCUUCUUUGCAUUCGGCUCAAGGGUUUAUAAAACGUCCCCCUACCAUGAAUUCAACCCAAAAUUAUAAGUAUACAAAACUUGAAUUUAGUAAUGUUAAAAAAAAGAACCAAUACAUAUUAUUUACAAGACGAGAUUCGUCAUUGAAGAACAAAUAAACCUUAGCAAAAUUGAUUUUCGAAGAAGCCAUGGGCUUCCAUUGCACGAUACGGGAAAUUUUCUUCUUCGUUUUCACGACCUACGCUAACGGCAAACCUUCGAUCGCUUCGUAAAUCCAAGCUUGCAACAACCAAAGUGAAAAAACUAUUAAAACAACUAUCAAAUAUUUAAUAUUACAAAACUUAUAAUAAACAAAAAAAAACAACGCACUUAAACCCCGAAUGUAAAGCCGUAAAUAUUGUACUUUUCAAUUUUAUGAUUUGAGUUUUCCAACCGAGUCGUCCUAAAUUUCUCGUCUUUCUCGUAUAAUGUAUUGUCAAGACUCUCGUAUAUCAUUUCCCACGACAAACGACCCCAUGGACGAUUUCGAAAGUGUUUUAUAUCAUCUACUUCAUUAAGACAUGAGAAAUUGAUUUGACAAUAACUUUUUCUUCCAUUUAGGACUCUGUCUGUAAAAUAAAAUAGCACAAUAUUUAAUGCAUCAAUGUCAUCCAAAGUCAAUUAGUGUAAUCCACUUAACAUUUUGAGUUGAGGAUAUUUUAGUAAACUCAUGUGAGUAUUUAGAGGACAUAAAUAUUCGUCGAAUUCAAUUUUUAGAGUAUUAAAAUAAUUUUGAAGAUAUUAUCUGCCAUAAUUACCUCUUUGGCAACAACGAAAACCUAACCAUCAUUUUUCCCGCUCCUCCAAUCCCAUGCAACCCACCAUUUUGAUAUUAUUAAUCUCAAUUAUACUGCUCAGUAAAGCUAGUAAAGUGAGACGAUGGGCCACUUCGUUGAAUUUGUCGUAGUCUUGUACCUUCAACAUAAUGCUCGUCUCCUUAGCUGCUUUCCCACUAAACCGAACCGAUAUUGCCAAUUAUAACUACAAACGCGACUUGUUUCCCUGUAAUUGGAAACAAUUAGUGGCAGAUUAAGAUAAGUCCUCAACAAAAAAUCGUCAUGAUUAUGCAAGAAGCAACGCUUUAAAGUGGGGCUUUCAAGUGGGUAAACUAAUCGGGAAUCAAAAGAAUCAAAUUUUCAAAAGCUAAUAUAUAAUAUAUAUAUAUUGAAUUGUUGAUCAUAUUUGUAUGGCUUGCACAAGCCAGAAAGUAGCGGAAGACACAUCCAAAUGCUCCAAUUUAAAAAAAAAAUAGUGAGCAAUUUAUUCUCUGGUGCUUUUGAUUUGAUUAAUUAAAUUCAAAGAAAUUCAACCUAAAUAAUCACUAUCAGUAGAAGCUACAAAUUAUAGACUUAUAUAAAAUAAAGAAAACUCACCGACAUAGAGAUCUCUAUAGCCCUUGAAUGGUUUUCCCUCAAUGGCUGUUUGGGAGUUUCAUGUUUGGGUUUGAGAGAGUGCAGUGAGCGGCGAAUUAGGGAUAGGAAUGUUUAGGAUUUAUACUUUUUCUAUUUUGUUUUUCAUUUUUCUUUGUUUCAAAUUUGUGCAACCUAAUCGGAGUCCGAACCCGAUGAAGAGAAUUACGAAAUGCGGCGGGAAUUGAAGGAGCGAGGCAAUAGAAGGCGGGAUAAUUUUUGGACUUUGGAGACUUAUAUGUGCUAGGCUACAAAACUUAAGCCCAAUCGUGGACAGGCCGAAGACAAAUAACUCAUGGUGUAUUUACUUCAUAGAAUAAGGAAUGAGAAUAAAAUUUAUGUUUAUUUGAUAAAAUGUAAUUUGAGAAUGAGAAUAAAAUGUGUAAGUUUUACAUAAUUUAUGAAUAAAGAGUGAAAAUCUCAUUCCCAUAGGGAUUUGGAAUGAAAAUAUAGGAAUGGAAAUGAAAUAUAUGUUUCCCUAUAAUUUUUUUAUAUUUUUCAAAUUACCCUCAUUCAAAUCACAAUUAAUUAUUAUUAUUAUUAUUAUUAUUAUUAUUAUUAUUAUUAUUAUUAUUAUUAUUAUUAAAUUUUAUUAACUUUAUUAUUUUAGUUAUUAUUAAUUAUUUUUAUUAUUUUUUAAUAUUAUCAUUAUUAACAAUAAAAAUAAUGAUAAAAAUAAUAAUUAAUAAAAAUAAUUAAUUUAUCAUUAUUAACCAUAUUAUCAUUAUUGUUAUUAUUAUUAUUGUUAUUAUUAUUUAUAAAAGUAAUAAUAAUAAUUAAUAAUAACUACAAUAAUAAAGCUAAUAAAAUUUAAUAAUAAUAAUAAUAAAUGUUAAUAAUGAUAAUAUUAAUAAAAAUUAAUAAUAAAAGUAAUUAAUAAUAAAUAAAAUAAUAAAGUUAAUAAAAUAUAAUAAUAAUAAUAAUAAUAAUAAAUGUUAAUAAUGAUAAUAUUAAUAAAAAUAAUAAUAACUAAAAUAAUAAAGUUAAUAAAAUUUAAUAAUAAUUAACUUUAUUAUUUUAGUUAAUAAUAAUAUUAUUGUUAAAUUUUAUUAACUUUAUUAUUUUAGUUAUUAUUAAUUAUUGUUAAUAUUAUUUUUAAUAAUAAUAAUAAUAGUAAUAACAACAACAAUAAUGAUAAUAUUUUUAAAUUAAUUAUUUUUGUUAAUUAUUAAUAUUAUGGGUAUUUUAGUAAAUUGAUUCUCAUUCUCAUUACUCAUUCCCAUUUAUUUUAUCAAGUAAACACACCAAUGGCAUUCCAGCAUUCUCAUUCCCAUUUAUUUUUACUAAGUAAACAUUGAAAUCUCAUUCUCAUUCAUAUUCCAUUUACAUUCCACCUCAUUCCCAUUCCACUUCAUUCCCAUUUCAUUAAGUAAACGCACCAUCAUUUCAAUGAAAUCACACGCACCGUUGAUCUUACACGUGUCUGACCGGCAAAACCUAAUUUCUGUAGUCAACUACAUUAAUUUCUUGUUGUAAAUUAAAACUACUUUAUGUGCUUCUAAAAUUGAAACUCCCGUCACGCAGGUGAUAAGGAAAUUGCUUCGCCAAUAUUCUGUUAAUCAGAAGUGAAAAAAAAAAGUUUAGUUUCUGUUAAUCAUUCUCAUUACUCAUUCCCAAGAAAAAAUUUUAUUAUUAAUUUUUUUUCUCAUAUCAAAAUAUAUAUUUCUUGUUUUUAAUGCUUAAUUUUUUUAUUUAGUUUCUAUUCAUCUAAUUUAUUUAAUUUAUAAUAAAUAUAAAAAAAAGUAGUUAAAAAUAAGGGUAAUAUUGUAAACUUAUGAUGUCAGGGAGUUUUUUGACCAUUAUAAAAAUAAUAAAGAGAUAAAUGAUAUAUGUUGAUUUCUGUAAGGGAGAAAAUGGCAAUCUCCCGAUAAGGAAAUUGCUUCGCCAAUAUUCUGUUAAUCAAAAGUGAAAAAAAAAAAGUUGUUAAAUUACAUAAAGCAAUCGGGAUGGAUUCGUGGAGAACAAAAAUUUGUCAAUGUAAAUAUAAAUUUGUCAUUUAUAAGCUGGCAUUGGUGAUGGCUCACAAAGAAAGGAUACAGAAGCACCAAAAUGCUAUUUGCUGUAUGAGUAUACCAUUCAAUUUUGAACAUAUACAUUGUGGCGACAUUUUACACAAGACCAUUAUUUCACUCCACAAAAAUCCGUUUAAUGCUCACUCUACAACAUAUACAGUGAGAUAUAUUGAAUAAAUAAAAAAUUAAAAAUAGAAUCUGGAAAAAUGACACAUUUAUGAAAACUGAAAAGGGAAAAAAGAAUUCCACAAUAUGAUUGAAGCUACUAGAAAGCUCCGAUGAAACUUUACGAUGAACAUACAUCUACUUUAUCCGAUUCUGGAGCAUCUUCGACCAUACAUCUAAUCUAUCCGAUUCUGGAUCGUCUUCAACCAUCUAAGCACCCGCAUCCAAUUGUGCUGAUAGUUUCUGAACUUCCAUUUUGAUUUAUCGGGUAGUAUGUUUGUGUUGAAUCACUUUGUUGGGGGCAUCAAUUAAGAGCAGCAAUUACCACCACGAGCCGAUUCCUGGACUUCUUUCUGUUUCAAAAUUUGAUUCUUCACCACUGCAGAUCCUUGUUCUAAUAAACUGGGAUCCUCAAGAAUCUGUAAACUAGGCAAAUCAAUAAGAACUGGUGCAGAGUAACAAAUUAGGCGAAAGACAAUACUGUGCAAUCUUUACCAUCUAAGAAGUCACAGAUUUAUUUACUGAUAAGAGUUCAUCUCAAAAAGAUAAUCCGGCAAUCAGUUUCUACAGAUAAUGUUGGCUACCGCAUCAAGAAAAAGUAAAUUAACAGAUUAGCAAUGGAGUAAAAAGUUGGAGUAAACACGAAAAUAUUUUGUGUCAGGUUCAUAAUUAAUUUUCAUAUAAUCUCUUGUAGUAUGUUUUCAUCAACAACCAACUAGCAAAAUUGAAGCAUCCAUUGACUAUGUGCUCCACACAAACAAUUAGGCAUCAUCAUAAUUCUUGUCAUUGUCUAUUAAGCUAUUCCACUUGCAACAGCUAUUAAAACAGCAGCACUAGCAAUGUCUCUCAAAUUAUUAGAACUAGAAGCACAUUGAAAUCGAUAGUAGAGGUUAUACAGCUUUCUUGUUAUGAUACCUUAUAUAAGAGAUCUUUAAAGCACUGCUUCACGUGUUCUGUAUUUUUAGCACUACAUUCAAGAAACAAACAUUUAUGCUCCUGUGCAAGAAUCAUCCCCUCCUCUCUGGUAACAGCCCUUUCACUAUCCUGAAAACAUUAAAAGCAAGGUAUUUUGUGAAUCUACUGGCAGUAGGUACAAAACCAUGGGAUGAUUAUUUAUUUUAAAAUACACAAUUUAUAUCAGUAAUAAAAUCCUAAGCAAAGCCAGACUAUCAACUCACCCUGUCAACUUUAUUUCCCACUAAAAUUUUGACACAAUCUUGAUUGGUAGAGUAAAGCUCUACUUCCUUUGCCCAUACACUUGACAAGUUGGUAAAGGUUUCUCGUCGUGUCACGUCAUAAACUAAAAAUGACAAUUAGUAACAAAUUAAUGAAACUUCAAGUCAUCAUUAUCAUUCAACACAUUCCAAAGGACUAAGAAAGCAAGUUCUGUAACAAAAACGAUAACAACUUAAAAGUGAAAACAUAAAUCAAACAGUGAAGAUUUGAUAUUCUGGGCGUAGAUUUGAGAAGAAUAUCCUGGAGUGCUUACUUUGUCCUAUCAAAUUGAAGGGACAUGUAACAACAUAUGUUAAAAUAAGUCAAUCAAUAAAUAAAUAUGAUGAUUAGGCUUUUCUAUUGCAGUGAAAAGAGCAUGCAUAAAUCAUUCCAUGCAAUGAAAAUAACUACAAACAUUUUGAAGCUAAGACACUCUGCUGAUACUACAACACCUGAAGAAGGGGAAAUAAUACAUUCAAUUGUUAGCACAACACACCCAUGAACAAUCUACUUUAUCUUAACAUAGGACUGUUCCAUUUGUCAAUCAAUCACCUGGCAAUGGUUUUCUAACAGUACAAACAACAAGUAUCAAAGCAAGUCAAAACAAGCAACUUCACACAGACACUCCUUUAGUACAUCUAUCAAACCAAUGAAAUUUUCAAAUUACAGGCACUUGUAGAAAUUCCAAUUCAACAUAAUAAGGUAAUACAAUCUGUGGAUUCCUGACACAUGAGAUGUUCAAUAUUCACAGGACAUACCAAGGAUAAUUCCAUGUGCACCUCUAUAGUAAGAGCUCGUCAAUGUCCCAAAUCUCUCCUGUCCAGCUGCAAUAAAACAUGAAAGGCUAUGUAAUAAAGCAAUUAAUCGUAUUUGACAAACUUGACUAUACUCAAUUAUACUACCGUUGUAUAUAAACCGCUACAUGUAGUGGCCAAUAGACAUAUAGCUAUAGGAAUUCCCACAUCUUUGGGAAUCCUGUUUACAACAUCUUGUUAUUCAGUAAAACAAAGUGACUUCAUUGACUUUGCUAUUUUGGGAUGGAGCUGAAAAGGAUUGUAUCCAGUGUAAUAAGUUCAAAGUAACUUAUUAAUCAGUUGCACACAAUCUUAUUCAUCCUUCUUCACUUAGAAGUUGAUUUAGAAAGGCCACAAAUAACCAACAAUCACGUAUGUUCAUCCAUUACCUGUGUCCCAAAUUGUCAGCUUCAGUCUUUUUCCACCAACUGUGAGUAGUUUGAUUUUAAAAUCUACACCUGAACAUGAGUAAAACAACAGUAUCCAAAGGUCAACACAUAUCAAAAAUAAAAACUUCAAAUAGCAAAACCUAUAAAACAGUACAAGUCAGGCAUUACUGAGUCAUAAUUUUGAAUGUUCUAAUCAAAGAAAUGACAAGUCCUUCACUCAGAUUCCCCAUAAGCAUCAUAUAAAACAGAGAGCCGCUACUAAUUUCUUCCCGGUUGACCCCCCAAAAAACAGAGAAAUAACUCAAAGCAGACCUUUCCUUAAUCAAAACCACUAAUAACCUCCAUAGCCAAGGCAUCCCAACUUGCCAAUUCGAUUAUAUGCAAACAUAAAAUUCAUAUACAUGUACGCAUACAUAUGCCACAUACAUGCAUGCAGACAUACAUGCAUACAUAUAAGCACAAAUUUGACAUCAGAGACCAAUAUUUUAUAAAAAAAGUUUUAUUUCACAACAUGUAAGAUCCCAAAUGAGGGGGAAAAAAAAUACCAAUUGUGGGAGAAGGAUCAUGAACAGAGUUAGAGAUGAAACUGAGAAGGAUACUGCUCUUUCCAACACCUGAAUCACCAAUCAACAGAAUCUUGAAAGAGUAAUCAUAGCUGUUGUUUCCAACUUUUGAACCCAUCUCUGACCUUUAUUUCUUCUUCACAUACAACAACAAGAAAUUAUAUAACAAAAAAAUUAAGCUUUCUAGUUCACCAUCACCUUUGCAGAAUUUUGCCAAUUCUGUGAACGAACUAGGAAAGAAAAAAAGAAAAAAAAAACAAAGAGAAAGAGGAACAAAUGAAAGAAAAUUUGAGGAAAUUUCCUCAGGUAGGAGACAGUGGUGGGGUUGGCGGGUAGUGUUUCUUGAUUUUUAUUUUUAUUUUUUAAUUAUUUUCUUUAAAUUUUUUGUUUGAUUAAAUAGAAGGGGUUAUUAUAAAAAAUGAUCCCCUGUAUUUUGCAUAAUUUAAAAAUAUUCUAAAAUAAUUUCCAAAUUUUUAAAUAGCUCAGAUAGCUUGUGGUUGUGUAAAGCAGAAAGUUGGACUCAUUUCAAAUAAAAAUAAAAUUAUGAAUAAUUUGUCAUUUUAUGGAAUAUGUCGGGACUAUAAUGAUAAUGUCGCGUUAGAGAAGUUUUAUAUGAAUACUAAUUAAAGAACAACUGAAGAGGUUCAAACAAAGGGACAAAUGUCAUCUUUUCUUGACCGGUUUACCGGGCGUGUUUGAUUUUGAUGGCUCCACGCGCCUCUGCAGGCGCUUGUGUGGGGCCGUACUUAGCUUUUACAUCAACAUCAAAUUAUAUUUAAUUCUAACCCAACUCACCUGAUUUUUGGCAUUUAAUUAUUUGUCUUUUUACGAGUUAAUUUGGUCCGUAGUCCUUACUCUUUAUUGAAUUUCUUUUCCAAAUAGUAAUUACAUCUCAAGUAUUAGUAUUUUGGGUGGCGGAACUUCAAAGAUUUUAUUUUAUUUUUUUAAAUAGUAAUUCUCAACCAUUUCGGAAUUUAAAACUCAAAGGUAACAUGAUAAAUGUUAUGAAAAACUUCAUAUCUAAAUAAGAAAAUCCUACAAAAAAAUAAUAAACUUAAAAGAUUGUAUUAGUUUCAAACGGGCUAAAAUGUAGAAUAUUUUAAAAUUAUUUAGAUAUUUGCCUUCGGAAUUAAAUGGUCGCAUAAAAAAAUGUUAUUUCUUUAAUAUUACUUAUAACUUUACUAAUACUACAAUUAAAAAUCAAUUGGGAUUUGUUUUGAUCAACACAAUAGUGAUGAACAAUAUUUAAAAAUUAAUUUCAAAGGAAAUUAUUCCAAAUAAAAAAGAAAUUAUCUAUAUUUUAGCACUAGUGAAAAUUGACCCCGUAUCUUUAAUUUUUAAAAAAUAAGGUAAGAAUCACUUAAUCAAAAAAUGGUUCUUAAAUAAAAAUUAAAAUUCUCUUCACUCAAAUAAUUGGUGAUUAAUAAAUUAAAAAAAAUAAUUAAAUCUUAAUUAUAUAUUAAAAAUUAGAUAGCAAAAUAAUCUCACUGCCUCGAAUAAAUAUUAAUUUAAUAUAAUGCUUUUAUAUUUUUAAUACAAUCAUUUUUAAACAGUAUGUUCCUGUAUGUAAUGAUCACAUUUGGAUUUGUUAAUGAUUAUCUCGCGUAUUGUAAGAGCAUGGACAUGGAUAAAAAUAAAAACAAAAUAUAAGUAAAAUAUUAAAUAAGUGUUUUAAAAAAAAAGAGAUUAAAAGCUAAAUUAAGAGAAUAUUCCAACCCUGAACUAUUUUCAAAAAAAAUUUUAAACUCGGGAUAGAGUUGCACAAAACGGAGCGACACCCCUACGCGCGUAAACAGCAACGGAUUUCAUGAGAAGCCUACGUGGCUACGUUACGUAAAAUUGUGAAAAAACGAUGCCAUAGCUCGACACGUAUAAAACAUGCAGCAAAGCAAGCUCAAAUGUAUAUAUUUUUAUAAGAAUAUAAAUAACACCUGGCUUUGCUGCCGGCAUCCGUCAUAACUCAUAUCGUCUUUGACUUUGACUAGCCGUCUCGGCUAUGCCUAGAUCAUCAUUCAUCAAAGCUUCUCUUUGCAACAAUUUUCUUUUGCAUGAUUGUGCCCUCUGCAAAACUCUAUUAUUUUGAUUGGUUUAGGCUAUUUAAUCCCGAAAUUUUGUUUUCCAAAAAAAAAAAUCCCGAAAUUUUGACUUAAAAUUUUUAUUUAAAUUUUCAGCUUUUGAUUUUUUUAUUAAUUCUACGAAAACACUUAUGUUGUGUUUACUUUAUGGAGUGAAAGUGAGAAGUAUAAUUUUUUCUUAUUUUUAAGGAAGGAUUAGAAAUCUCAUUCCGUGAGCCCCACUCAUUUUUUAAGUGGGGAGUAGGACUCAGUGAGACUCCCAUGAGGAGAGGUGGGAGUAAAUUCUUUAUUUUAUACUCUCUUUUUAUUAAAUUUAAUAUAAUUAUAUUUAAUAAAAUAAAAAUAUAUAUUUAUAUUUAUUUAAAUAAUGUUAUUAUAUUUAACUAAACAAUAAUUUGGUUUGAUUUUAAGUUAAAAUUAUUUAAAAAUAAUAUUACUAUAUUAAUAGAGAAUUAAUAAUACUACUAUAUACUAUAUUUAUUUGAAAAUAUAAUAAUAUUAUUAUAUUUAUUUAAAAAUAAUAAUAUUAUAUUUAUUUAAUAUUAAUAAUUCAUAAUAGUAAAUAGUUUAUUCUAAGAAAAUAUUUCAUUUGUAUUGCCCUUAUCAAUAAUUUUUAAUUUAUAUAAUUAAAAUUAAAAUUAAUAAAAAAAUUGUGAUGUACAUAAUUAAGAAUAUUAAUAAUUAUUAUAAAUUUACAAAUAUAAUAAAAUAAAUAUUUAUUCAUCAAAUAUAUUUUUUAUUAACUUUGUAAUUAAAAACAACAAUUCUUUAAAUAAGGGUAAAAUUAUAAUUUGAAACUAUUUACUCCCAAUUCAAGACAAAGUAAACACAUAAAUUAUAUUAUGAUCUACAUUCCACUGUAAGUAAACAACCUACUCUCACUCCCACUUCACACUCUCAAUCCUAAAAUUCUCACUCCUCAGGAUUUUCACUCCAAUCCAAAAUGCAAACGCUACCUUAAUGUAUUUUUUUUCCUAAUUAUUGAUAUGUAUUGUAUGAUGAAUUUAUUAGUAUUUAUAUUUAAAUAUUAUGAUCAUUUAGAUAAAUUUCAUUAUGGUUUAGUCUAAAUAUCUAUUCUCAUAAAUAUUGAAGAAAUAUAUUUCACUCACGAAUCAGUGAGAAUAUAUUUAUCUCUAUUCAUUUUUUUAAUUGGAAAAGGAUACGACGAUUUUAAAAAUCGCAGUGCAUAAUUCAGUUAAAAUCAACAAUAAACAACCCACUAAAUAUCUUUAUUAAAACAAUACAACAAUUUUCUCUUUUACAAUAAGGACCAAAUCAUUCACAAAAUCAAUAAUAAACAACUGAUUGAACAUCUUUAAAAAAAAUACAAUAAAUAAGUGGAUAUUUUAAAAAUAUUAUCACAUAAUCAAAUCAGUGAGAAAAAUAGAAAUAUAGUAAUAAUUAUGAGCUACGUUUUUAGUAAAGAAAAGCAAGUUACAUCUGGUUAAAUUUAACAUAAUAUAUGGUAGCAUUUGAUUAAAUAUGAACCAAAAAAAAAAAAACCAAAAAAGUGGUUCACUUCAGCCUUUGGUCAUUCUUUCACGCUUUUCAAUUUAAAAAACUAAAUGAAACAAAUGGUGUGUGAUGUGAAAUGAGAAACACUUCUGUGGAAGUGGAACAGUCCAAUGGUUUAGCAGUGAUGUUAAAAGUAAAAUUUUGGAGAUCUAUUAAAUUUAAUAUUAGAAAAGUCAGCGAGUUUUAAUUGGGAUUAAAAUUACACAGUUAUAAUUUAAAAAAUAUAAUUUUAAAAUGUUUGAUAAACAUGAUUGUUAUAGUUUGGAAGCAUCUCCAAAAGAUUGUAUUAAUUUUAUUUUUUAAAUAUUUAUUUAUUUACUUAUAUGGUAAAAAGGUGAGUGAAAAAAUAUGUUAUUCUCUAAAAAAACUCUUUAAAUAGAAAUCAAUUAAUAUUGUUUUAAUCAAAUUAAUAUUUUUCAAAGGAAAAAUAUAUGGUAAUUAAAGCACAUCUUUCUCUCUAAUAAAAGUAAUAAAAUAUAAAUUGAAGAGGAAGAAAUAAACUCUAUAAAAUUAAAGGGAGAGCAUCAUUUUUUAUUUAAAAAAUCUUAAUUAGUAUGUCUUUUGGAGUGUUAAAUACUAAUGUGGCUCUUCAAAUAAAUAAUAAAAUCUUAUUUAAAGAGCCCUUUGGAGAUGCUCUUAGUUGAUUUGAUUUUUACAUUUUUAUGAUUGAAAAAUUUAUUAUAUUUUUAUUAAUUUUAUCAAAAUUAUUAUUAAAAUUUAUAUUUACUACACAAUAGUAAUUCUUAUUUCAUAGUUCUAGUAUUUUUUAUACGGCAACGGUAGCUUAAAAAUUACAAUACCUUAAUUCAAAAGAGAACCUCCGUCACAUGACAAAAUAUUAACAGACUGUAUCACCAUUUCAUAUAAUUUUUUUUAAUGAAAUUAUGUUUAUGAUUAUUUCUUAUUCGAAAUCACACAUAGAAGUUUCUGCCUCUUAACAAAAAAAAUUUGACGGGUUAAAAUCAUUUGAUGUGGCUUUUUGAAUGACUUUUUUUUUCCCAAAUAAAAGCUUUAUUCAAAUAUUUUCUUUAAGUUUUUUGCGUACAAUUUUACUCGGUUGUUUUUUUGAACUCCAGAAUAAUUCGUUUUUCUUGAAAUUAUUUUAGACCCAAAAAUUGAUUUAAUUUGGCAUGGAAAAAAAAAAAGCUAGUUGAGAAAAAUGGGGUAUCUAGCCAUGGCCUGGGGUCCCCUCAGAAGAUUGGAAUGCUUGAUGGGUUUGAAUCACACGGCCGAACUCGUUUGUGCAUGAUGGCAUGGGGCCCGUGGAACCUUUACUUGCCUUACAGGAAAAGUCCGAGAUAGAAACGUGCUUUUCACGCUUUGGUUUUGGCACUUAACUGACAUAAGACAGGCCAAGCCAGCACCCACGGUCUAACUAAUUACAUCAGCCUGGAUAAUUGCACUUUAUUUUUUAUUAAUUAACAUUUUUAUGUUUUUCAGAUACUUUUUGCAGUAAUUAUAAAUAAUAAUAAAAAUUAUUAAAAGACUUUUCUGAAAUAUCUCAUAUACCUCCUUAACAAAGGGGGGGGGGGAAUUAUUUUCUAUAUAAUAAAAUUGAAAAGAACAUCAUUUUUAAUGUUUUUAGCAACAUUUCCUCUUUUUAGUAAUUGCUUAAAACUUGAGAAUUUUUGUAAAAGGGGAUUUUCAUUGAAAUACUCCCUUAUCUUUCUCCCAAAAAAAAAUUAUCAAACAAAUUAGCAGUAUUUUAAACGAUUGAAUCAUAUUAAUCAAUAAUUAUAAUCUAUUUUUAUGAUUAAUUUUACAAAUAGAAGUAUUUUGGGAAACAGAACGUUGCGUAUUUCCACAAAUAAAAAAAAAAAAAGGUUACCAAAAUUUGUUUUUAAAAAAUUCGAAUACGAUAAGAUUUCUCUUCUUUUUGAGUUUUCAAGUGCAGUGCAGAUAGAUAUGAUAGCUCGCACAGACAAUAAAUAGCCUUUAAUGGUCAGUUCUCACUUACCAAGUUCAUUGAAAUUACCAAAUUAACCUUUUACUGCACUGCAAUCAAUACAACAAUUUAAAAAAAAAAGAAUUUUCAAAAAACAGAAAACAAAAAGGAAAAAAAAAAUGAAAUGACAAAACGAUGCUGCUUCACUCCACUUGAGACACCCUAAUUUCUUGUAAUUGAAGCUACCAGCCGCAGUUGCUUCCCCACCAAUCAAUCCCAACAUUUCUUCUAUCAUCCCCGUCACGGGAAAAGCCCUAACCCCAUCAACAAUCAGGCCGUUUUUGGUUUCUCAAAUGGGUAACGAAGGUCUUGCCCUCACGACCACCACACCGGCGACACCUGCGACACCGGCAGCGGCGAAGAAGAAUACGGCGGCACUUGCACCUGGGUUUCGAUUCCACCCAACGGACGAAGAGCUUGUGAGCUAUUACUUGAAGCGCAAGGUCUAUAACAGGCCCUUUCGCUUCAACGCCAUUGGCGAGGUCGAUAUUUAUAAGAACGAGCCUUGGGACCUCGCAGGUCAGGAUUACUCAUCUCUUUCGCUCUAAUUUUUUUCUGCAUAUACUUUUUUCAUUUCUGUUAGUGGGUUUUUGUAUUUUCAUUUUCCUUUUACCGUUUUCCAGAAAAAAAGUUAGGGUUUCGUUUUUUUUCAGUCCUGUGAUUUUAGUGGUACCAUUUCUCGCUAGUUAUUAUUUAGAUUUUUUAUUUUGCAAAUAUUAGGUUUUUUGUUUUUGUUUUUGUUAUUUUUGUUUUGCUGUCUGUGGUGAUUUUGAUAGUCAUAAUUUGUUUUUGAGUUUUUUUUUAAAUUACAUUUCUGAGAGGGGUUUGGCUUAUAUCUGGAGUUUUGCGGUUUAUAUUUCUUUGAUAUGGUUGCUUAUCGGGGGUUUACUUGUUUAGGGGGUUUUAGUUUACUCAAUAUUGAAGACCAUUCGGCUAGAUAUGAUUUUCUUUAUGGGAUUUUUGUUUUUUUAUUUUAAUAGUAUCAAGAGGGCUUUCAAGAGUUUAUUGUUCUGUUUAUUGGAGAAGAAAGUUUAAACAUUACUUGUUUAUGUGGUUUUAGAUUUUUCGUGGAUGAAGACCAGAGAUCAAGAGUGGUACUUUUUCAGUCCAUUGGAUAAGAAGUAUGUAAAUGGGGCAAGAAUGAAUAGAGCUACGCGGAAAGGGUAUUGGAAAGCGACAGGGAAGGAUCGUGAGAUUCGCCGGGAGUCGCAACUCAUUGGAAUGAAGAAGACGCUUGUGUUUCAUAGUGGGCGUGCCCCUGAUGGGCAGCGGACCAAUUGGGUUAUGCAUGAGUACCGCCUUGUGGAAGAAGAAUUCGAGCAAUUGGGGCCUGGACUGGUAAGGCUAUAAUGAAAUUUUUGUUGCUGGUUUUGAUUUCAGAUGCUAAUAGUAUUUAUGAAACAAAUAACACCCUUGAGCUGAGUUAUUGUUAAUAGAAAAAGAAUAUUCUUGAGUUGAGUUAUCAAACACAAAAUUUAGGAUUGAUAGAAAAGGUUCUCCCAUAGUUUUCUGUUGUAGGUUAAGCUUCUUUGGUUUUAGUAAUUCUAUAUAGCUUGUAUUUGGUUUCCGAAAGAAUUUUGGAAUUGUCUGGAAAAUUGAUUUAGUCCUUUCGGAUUUUAUGAUAUAUACUGUUUUGACAAUGAAUAAGCCAGUACAUUUUACUUCAGUUGUUUGUACCCAGGUCAGUGAAUUUGAAGAACUGAAUCUGUUUUCUUGGGGUCGUAAAUAAUGCAAAAUCUUUAGCGUAGGAGUUUUAACACUGCAAUUUCACUGCAACCUAAGUGCAUAAUUGUUCAUCAUAAAUCUUAUAGGAUUUGCUUGUUUUCUUUUGUGCAAAAGGCUUCAUAUGUGCUGUGUAGAGUAUUCCACAAGAACAACAUAGGGCCACCCAAUGGGAAUCGAUAUGCACCAUUCGUUGAGGAGGAAUGGGAUGAUGGCAUGGCAACUUUUCCAGGAGAAGAUGCUGCAGAUGAGGUGGUAGCAGGUGAUGAUGUUGGUACUGAAAGGAAUGCUGGCGAAAGGAUGCGUGUUGAGCAGGUCUGCCCAUCCUCUUUUUCUUCUUACCCUUCUUUUCUCUUUUAAUUUUUAAGCAUAUGUGUGAUACUGCAAGUUAUGAUAAAGGGGUUGGCAAUAUAUCGAAAGAUAUCCAAUGGAUUCUGGCCAAUUACUGUAGACAAGAAUCCAGCAUUUUAAUAUAAUUGAACGGUUGAACAAGCCAGUGAUGUAAGCAUCAAAAGUUUGUUUUAAUCACUUUUAAUUUUGAGUACUUUGGGUACUUGAUUAUCUUCGAGCUUCCUCUUAAAUUACAAUUAACGUCUGAACUACUGAGAGUCAUUGUCUUUGGAUUCAUUGAAAAUCAUAGGGUCAUUCAAUAUAUAAUAUAGGUGAUGGAUUAAAAUCCAUGCUUAAAUGGAUGCAACCUUCUCAGCGUAUUUAUUGACAUUUAUUAGGCGAAUGCAUACUUCCCUUCUAUAAUAGGUUCAAGUCUAAUGGGUAUGAUACCUCCUCCAAAUUAUCUCCAUGGACGUGAAGGAAAAAUGUAAUUCCUUAAGCCUAUAGGGUUCAUGCCUCUACCUUUUGGGAAGGAAAACUUACACAGAUUGACCGAAUAGACUAUUCUGAAAAUCAUUUGUGGCUAGGAAGUUGAAGGGCAUCUGGCUUCUCGUUUUAAUUUUUAGUCUUUACUUGAAGGGUGCUGAUAAACAAGUAGGGUUUCCUUACAGAGAUUGAAUUUAUUCAAUGUCAUCUAGAGCAUGGGCUGGUUCAUGGUGUGGGUAUGAUUAUGAAAUAUUAUAUUUUUCCCCAUACAUGGUGUGGUAUAGUUCUUUCUUCUAAUUGUCAAAGACUACUACAGACGAUAAUAUCAGUUUCUUUUGUUUGAUUUCAUUUGACUUUGUAUCAUACUGUUAGAAGAUGUUGCUUCCAAAAUGCUUGCUAAUAACAUAUAUUGUUGUGCAGUGUUAAAGUCUUCAGUGGCAAUGUAAGCACCUAUAAGAAUAUAACAUUUCAAGGGAGCAAGAAUUAAGAAAUUAUGUUGGUUGUUCUUAAAUGGGAUGAAACCAAAUUUUUCCUAAGAACGCAAUUGACAUAGAAGUAUAGGAAUUUGCUGACCUCUUAUCAUUAAUUCAUGGCAUCUCAUUAGUUUAGAUUUCUUUUUGGCUGUUAUAAAUAGCAAUUGAUGUAUUUUUCUUAGCAAAGCAUGUGAUUAUUUGAAUAACACAUAAACAUACUCUUUUCUAUCCUCUCUUCUUUUUCAUUACAGUUCUAUUUCUCUCCAAUUUCUGUUCUUUCUAGUCUGUUUCUCUUUAACCUGCCUAUUUCCAUUGUUAACUUAUUAUGCAUCCCACCUGAAAAUCAGGACCAUGCACAUGGCUGUUUUCUUUUUUCUUUUUUGUAUUGUAUUAAUGCCAAAUUAGUUAUCAGAAAGUUUGGAAUUACCACUUAUCAGGACAUCAAAAUAAAAUAAAAUUGGACUUGCCAAUUAUGAAUGCUUUUGUUAGUGUGGUGGCACUGAGUAGUGGCACAUUGGUUUAAUUUAUGACGUUUGUACAACUGUACAUGAUUUGACUGGUUAUUUAUCCAUAUGCUUCUUUUUGGCGUCUUCAUUCAAUAUCACUGGGUUGGUGGAUUGCUAUUUACUAUCUCCUUAAUUUACUGAAUAAAGUGCUAUUGAAUGUUGGUUGAGUGUUUCAGGAUUCUCAAUCCAUCAAUAAGGAGCCUCUGAAUAUUAAUGAACUUCCAAAAGAUGCUCAAAAUGAUUUACUGGAUUGCAAGAGGGAAAGGACAGACGGUUGUCCUUCGCUAUGUGUGUUAAAUACACAGGCACCUCUUCCUCUUCUCCAAUACAAAAGAAGAAGGCAGAAUGAUUCAGGUUCUAACCGAUCAAAUGGUUCAGAUAAUUCAUCUGGAGCAGGCCAGGAUCCUUCCUCAUCUACCACCACAACAGCUGAAACAGCAACGAUGAUGGCGACAAAUUCAGCAACAACAGCAGCAAUUUCUGCGUUGUUGGAGUUCUCUCUGAUGGAGUCUAUUGAACCCAGAGAGACUUCUCGUGUUCCCACAGCUGCUCCAUUUGAAGCUAAUGAUUUUGAUUCACAGAUGCCACCUGACUGUGCUAAACUUAUCAAAGAACUGAAGAACCAGGUGCGCGAGGUUGUCGUUGAGAGGGAGACAUUGAAGCUUGAUCUGAUGAGUGCUCAAGCCAUGAUUAACAUCCUGCAUUCGCGAAUUGAUUUCCUGACCAGGGAAAAUGAGGAUUUGAAGAGGAAAAACAAAGCUGCUUAGUGGACUGAAAUGCAGCCCCAUUUAAUCGUAGCGUUGUUUGUUCGAUCAGUGUAGGAGUCAUCGGCCUCUUAUGGGCUUUUCCCCUCUUAUCUGUUGAUUACAGAAUGUAUUUGUAAAUUUCGGAGGUCUGUUGUUUAGUUGUUGUAAUGUUAUGAGAAUGGCGGGAUAUUUUGCACCAACAGUCGGUAAUGUAAACUGAGACCUUGUUUUUAAGUCUGUGUUAGAACUCGGUAAGUUCAUUGUUGUUGAGAAUUCAAUAUUGUGCUAAUGAACCCUUUUCAGGAAAACUAUUGGUCCAUUUGCCCUAAAUUUGUUUGAGAAACCUCUGAAGCAGUUACCAUUUGUUUGUGCCAGCUUCAAAGCUUUACCCGCAGCACUUUGUGGACUUUCAAUCUUUUCUCCCUAUUCAUUACAGGUUGGCGACGGUGAGUGGUUGAUGAGAAUGUAACAAGUACCAACUUUAUGAAAAAAAAUUGAACAUACUUUUUUUUUGUUUUGAGCUAGUACUUACAAUCUACAGACAUUAGAACUUGGGGUUUGCUGUUUUUGUAUUUCCUGUUUUUCUAUUUUCUGUCUUUUUCAUUUUUUUUUUGCAAGUUUCUUUUGGUUUUCUUCUCUCUUUUUUUUUUUUUUUCAUUUUCAUUGCAUUUUCCUUUUUUGAAUUUGUUUGUAAUUUUGUGGUUGGACAUUGUAUUUCUGCCGCUCAUGAGGGUCUGUUUGGUGCCAAAGAUGGUGUUGUUUUAGUUUUUUUAUCAGGAUUGUGUCAGUGCUCGUAUGGGGAUGAUACGCCUCUAUUGGAGUCGCUACAGGGCUCUAGUAGGUGAUGCAUUGAGAUUUUGAUGGCUUCGGAUGAGUAAAAGAUGGCCUGGGAUAAGAGUUCAUCAAGAGACCUUUGAGGAUGAUUCUAUGAGAGACAAUUUUAUUAGUUGUUUGUGUUUUGUUUAAUAUUGUGUUGUGUUGUAUUGUUUUGUAUUAUCAGAUUGGAGGAGGUUUCGCAUACAUUUGUUGAGGCGGGUUAGGUCAGUUCUGUGAAAUUCCUCCGAUGCUUGAGUAGUUUUAAAGGUGAAAUGUUGUCUUUUUUUCGAUUUUUUGUGAUGGCUGAUGGAGGCCGCAUUUAAUUUAGGCUUGAGUCUUAGAUCUUAUCCUCUAUAUUUUACUUAAGCUAGAUAUGGUCGUUUAUUUACACUUUUAUGGCGAUGUAUUGUUGUAUUGUUGGCCAUUAUUAAUCUUGAGAUGAAAUUCAUACCUUCCAAAAAAAGAAAAAAACAAAAGGAAUUAUGGGUUUGUUUGGAAUUUAAAUUUAUUUACAAUUUGAUAUUAAAUUUUAUUAGACCAAUCAACGUCAAUGAUAUUAGUUAAAAAUAAAUCAUUUUUAUUUUUAUUUAUUUAAUAUAUUUCCCAAUAAUUAUAUUAUAGUGAUUUAAUAAUUUAUAAUUUUAUGAAAAUUUAACUAUUAUUAAGACAAAUUAUUUAUUUAUUUUGAAGUUAUUAUUUAUAUUAUGUGUUAUUAAAAAUUCACAAUGAUAUUUAUUACAUUUAUCACAUAUUAAUGUAAAUAAAAUAUAAAUUGUUAUAAAUAAAAAUAUAAUUAAAAAUAUUCUUUUUUUACAUUAAUUUUUCAUUUGUAUUAAUCCAUUAAACUAUGAUCAAAUAAAUAUUUAGUUAUUUUAAAUUAAUUUCAAUAAUAUUUUAUUAUUCAAUCCAAUCAAAUCUUGAACUAUUCCAAAAACAUGAUGGUAUUAAAUAUAUUUCAUUUACAUUCUAUCACUUCUCGUUCUAUUCAAUCACAUUCCAUCCUAUCCUGUUAUACAUACCAAACAUACUUUUAUAAUACAAUUUGAGGUUCCUCAUAAAAAAAAUAACCCAAAAAUAGUUGCGAGACGUAAAUUCCUACAUUUUAAAAGAUAUGUACCCCUACCCACAAAAAUCGAACCCAUUUAUUUUACAAAACAGAGAUGAAUUUUCACUUGGAUAUCCACUCACAGGAUAAAAUAUUCAUCAUUAAUAAUCUAUUAAUUUUAUGGAAGAACGGUAAGGUCUUUUAUACAACAUACUAGAGCUUAAUGAAGCAGAGGGACAAAAUGUUGGUGUACAGCUUGAUAAUUAGAUUAUGUAGGAUUUCUCUUAAACCUUAAUUAGCUUAUGCAAAAUAUGUCACAAUCCACAAAUCGCAUGUAAGGUGAGGGAAUUAAUUAACAUAUGCUAAAGGGAAAAAUAAUAAAUUAUUGUACAAUUUUUUUGACUUAGAGAGAGCGAACAAAUCAGACAGCCUAGAUUUUGAUUUAUCGAUAUGGUUCUUUUUCGAGAAUGGAAGUGCAACAAUAGUGUUACAUCGAUGUUGACUCUAUCGAUACGGUUCGUUUUAAGUAUCUCAGCGAAGGUCCAAGUCUUCGAGAGGACAUCUCCGUCAUUUUGAUUAUAUUUAAAGCAAUCACUUGACGGAUGCAGUUGCGUCAGUAGCACGGUGCGAGCGAGCAACCGCCUACCAUUGGCUCCGCACGUGUUAUGGGCACACCCACUCCUGCCUGCUCACGUGUCAAUCCUAUACAAAAGCCACGUCGACUACAAUAAAACAGAGAAAAAGAUACACGACGGGUAAUCCUAGCAGUGCUUCCCCAAUUGCUACUUAAUUCAAAGAGGGACAGACUUCGCACUAUUCAUUUCUUCCUCAGCAAGAUGUCUCGUCUUUCUCUCGCUCGCUUCUCCCACUUUUUCUGAAACUCCAAUUAAUUAACCCCAAAAAAACCCCAAAAAAAAAACCUAAACCCUAAUUUUAAAAAAAUUCAGCUAAAGUUCUAAUUAUCUUUUUGAUAACAAUUUAAUUAAUCGAAUCCUUUAUUUCUGUAAUUCGCUUCGAUUGAUGGGCCGUGAGUUUGCAUCGACGUCGUUAGCUCCGGGGUUCCGAUUUCACCCCACCGAUGAGGAACUCGUUCGGUAUUAUUUGAAACGGAAGGUUUGCCAUAGACCGCUCCGGUUCAACCCAAUCUGCGUCACCGAUAUUUACAAGUCCGAGCCUUGGGACCUACCCGGUACUUUGUUUUCCCUAAAUUUCAUUUUUUGCUCACAAAGUUACGAUUUUUGUUCAGAUCUAGUUAUUCUUCAGGUAUGGUAAAUAUAUAUACUUGUGUAUAUUUGUCUUUAAUCUAUUUGUUAGGAUACUAUGGCCUAAUUUGUCGAAUUUUAUUUUAAUUUUACUUUAUCCUGGUGGGUUUAGAUAAGUCGAGUUUGAAAACUAGGGACAAGGAGUGGUAUUUUUUUAGUAUGUUGGAUAAGAAGUAUGGCAAUGGGUCGAGGACCAAUAGGGCCACUGAAAAAGGAUACUGGAAGACCACUGGGAAGGAUCGCCCUGUUCAUCAUAAUACGCGGACUGUUGGGAUGAAGAAGACCCUUGUCUACCACAUGGGGAGGGCUCCUCAUGGUGAACGUACCAAUUGGGUGAUGCAUGAGUACCGCCUCACUGAUGACGAUUUGGAGAAAGCUGGAGUUGCGCAGGUGAGAUCAUGGAGGACUCUGUUUGGGAUUUGUGUUUUUAUUUGUAUUGUUUUGGUAUUUGAUCAAUUGUCUCUCUCUUUUUUUUUUUUUUAGUGUUUUUGCAACUAGUGGAAAUUGAUUGGUUGUUGGUUGUGUUGGGGAAGGAUACAUUUGUUCUGUGUAGGAUAUUCCAGAAGAGUGGAUCAGGGCCGAAGAAUGGGGAGCAGUAUGGGGCACCUUUUAUUGAGGAGGAAUGGGAGGAUGAUGAGGCGGUUGACGCAGCUCUUGUACCAGGUCAUGACGUGGUUGCUGACGAAUUGGUGGUUAGUGAUGAUGCAUAUUUUGAAACGAAUGACCUUGAUCAGGUUUGAUUUUAUCUAAUCAUGAUUUUUAGAAUUGAUUUUGUUUACAAUGGCAUAUCAUCCUUUUAAUUUGAGCCUUGGAUGUAUUGGUGUUAAAUGUUAUAUGGAUGAGUGCGUGACUGUCCAUGUUUUGCAAAUGAAUUCAACUAUCACGAGGCAAUAAACGGAGAGAAUUACAUUAAUAUUGUUGUCUUAGGGUGUCUUACCUUGAAGUUAAGUGUAUGUCACUUUGUCAUUUAAGAAAAUAUAGAAUAAUCCAUAAUAUUUAAGAUUCAAAUUGUUAUCUAAACUUACAUGUGAGCGUGGAAAUUUUCCUGCCAAGUACUGAGAAAUAUUGGCGGUUAUAUGAUUGAUGUUGAAUAAAUAAAGUUUAACAAGAGAAAAAGAAGGGGGGGGGGGGGGUUAAGAGAGAGAGUGGAGUUAUAAACUUUUCCUUUUUAAUUAACUUGCACAUGUUUUGAACAGAUCACUUAGAUUUAGUUUUCUAGCUUUUUGGACUAAAAGUAUUCUCAUUAUCCAAUUUUAUGCAAAAAGUUAUAUUUUGGAAGGGCAUUUAUGGGAGCAAACUCCAAAAGUGUGUGAUUUGCUCACUUUAAUAGUUGUACAAUAGAGAAUUAAUUGGUUGUCUCGGAUAGUUAUUUAAUAGAUGAAGGCUUAAAUUUCACAAGAAUAUUCAGAUGAAAAUGUAUAUACCAUAUUGGAUCGUUAAUAAAAUGUCAAGCAAGGAGAUUCCACCAAUGAGGAACUGUGAUUGUAUUAAGUGUCAUUAUUUUUGUUAUGUUAUAUUUUGAGUUUUAAGCUGAUCUAGGAUAUUUUUUACUCUUGACCUGGAAGUAGAAGAGUCCAUUUGGUUUUGGACUUGGGCACAGAGGCUUAUAUGCUUUUUUUUAUUGACAUUUGGAUUCAUUUUAUAAUUAUUUUUAGAUACUGUCUUCAUGUCUCCACUUUGCUAAAACUUAUUUCUUGAAGUUUUUCAGAAGAAGAAAAUCCGCUUUCCUUUCAUCUCUAUUUGAUUUUUUUCCGUAGAUAUUUCUUUUUAGCAACCAAUUUAUUAGCUUUUUCACUUUAUUUGUUGAUUGUAGGAGUUGCACAAUAGUCUUACUGACGGAAGUUAUUUUUUUGAGCUGUAACUGGCACUGACUUUUAUGAGCACAAAAAUAACACUGCAUGCUGCUUCGUGACAAUAUAAAUUACAAUAUAAAAAGUGUUAAAUACUAUUGUUAGGUAGUUAGCAUUUAGAUUUUUGGAUUUAUAGUGUCCUGAAAAUUAUGCCUUUUGCCAGAAUAUUGAUGUUGCAAAUCAAUCUGAAAAUGCUCUGCGUCAUUUGAACUUCUAUCAUGGAGAGUCAAGCAACCAUGUUGAGCAUUCAAGGGACUUGAGUCCAGAUAAUCAGAGGCCCAUGAUAGGUGUGGGUGCCACACAGCAUAAUUCAGAGCUGAUGGAUGCAAGACCGGUAAAAGAUGAAUAUAUUGAUUCUAGCAAUGGUGUCAAUGCUGGUGGCGUUAAUUAUUUUCUCAAUGAGCCUUACUUGGAUGCUACUGAUAAUCCUCAAUUCAGUGAUGGAUUAUACCUAGAAGCUAACGACCUAUCAAGCACUGCUGAAGCUGAUUCUCAAGGGUUUGACAUGGUUGAAGAGUACCUUAAUUUCUUUGAUGCUAAUGAUGACAACUCAGAGUACCUGACUUUUGAUGCUUCUGAAAUUCUGGGGAGCGGAGACAACAAUUCUGCCCAAGCACCUCUCACAACAGAGGUAGAAGUUCAAUUUUGAACUUCUUUCUCCUCAUUUCUUUCUCUCAUCUUCUAUUUUUUCGGUUGGUGUAUUAAUCUGAUUUGUUACAUUUGCAACAGCAGGUGACUGAAGUAACUGAUCAAAUGUCCAUGGCUGGCCAGCAUCAAGCUGAAGUACAUGGUAAUGAUGUUGCAUCCACUUCAGAGCAAAAGCCAGAUAUUGUCAAAUCCGAAUCAGGUAAAAUUAUGUCAUUUCAGUUCGCAUCACUGGUUCUCCGUGUUCUCCUCUGUGUGGAUUUCAUAAGCUAAUAUGUAUUGCAGCUUAAGAUCUGUCGUACUAUAGUCUGUGCACUUGUUUUCCUUUCAUCCUUAUUUAUCUGGAAUCAUUAAUUUUUUCGUAUGGUGCAGAUGUCAAGUAUCCCUUCCUCAAACAGGCCAGUCAAAUGUUGGGCAACGUUGCUGCUGCUCCUGCAUUUGCCUCGGAAUUCCCUACAAAGGAUGCAGCUCUUCGACUCAAUUCAUUGGCUCAUCCGUCCAGUUCAGUUCAUGUUACUGCCGGUAUGAUCAGAAUCAGAAAUAUCACUUUAAGUGGAAGUGGAUUGGACUGGUCGGUUGGCAAGAAUGGGGAUAUGAAUAUUGUCUUUUCUUUUGACCUGUCACAAAAUGUCAUCAGUCCUAGUCCUACCAGUUUUGAACCGGCGGGUAACAUUUUCUCUGGUAAGACAGGGUCGGUGGUGUUCCGGAGCUUGUGGUUGUUGUUGUUCCUUUGGAUCAUAAUUCUUUCAGUGGGUUUUAAGAUUGGUGCCUGUGUCUCUGCCAAGUAAACAGGAUUACUGCAUCCAAAACUUUAUUUGCUGGUUAAAUUGAUAGGGUUAGUUGAUAUUGAUAUUUCUUUAUAGAUUAUUGACUUGGACACCACCUCGUUGCAGAUAUGUUGUUAUAUGUAACUUUUUGACUGUCAAAUUAAGUUGGCGUCUUAUAUACUUUAUACCAUUGUAACUUUUAAAUAUGUCCACACUUGUAGUUGAAUACGAUAAUAUUAUUUGAAAUUCUGGUUUCGCUUUCCUGUUAGAGUCUUGCCUUGAAAUAAAUCUAUAUGCUAUGUUAAAAUUACAAUUAGAUGCACUGUGCUGAUUGUUAUGAAGUUCUUUGUUCACAGCAGCAUUCUGGCAAGGAUGAAACUGUACCCUUCGGUGUACCCUAGAUCGUUUUUUGUUAUUUGCUUUCUUGCUUGAUGAGUUUUAUCUGCGUUCUGGGCAAUGCUGCUUAUGGUUUGCUAAGUACUAGAUGAAGCAUUCGAGGAAGAUCAAACUUGUUCCCAUUCAAGAAGUAGGAAAGUGGAGGUUUUUUUUUCUCUUUUGGGAAAUGAUAUGACCCGUCGCACGUGAAAUCCAGGCCUGUAGCAAGACUCUUGAUCAAGGCUUGCAAAUGAUAGCAUGGCAUUGCAAAUCCAACUAUUGAUAUGUUAUCCUAGCAAGCUUUAAAGGGCUGGCCUCAUAGUUACGGCAUUUUAUACCAGCCAAAUGGCACAACCCCCACCAUUCAGCGAACAUAUUUGUGAUUUUUUAUACCGUAUUAGAGUUUUUAUCAUUUGAAUCGACGGAGUAACUCUUCCAUUGAAGAAAUGAUUCAUCUGUCUUUCCUUCUAUUAAGAAUCUCAUUAUCAUCUAGUCCUGGCAGUCUCCGUGGCUCUAAAUAGCUGGCAGAAGUCUUCCAGGCAACAUUGUAUAUGACAAGGAGACUGCAACUACGGAUUAGAGAAACCUAAGGAUUUAGAAAAAUAUGAUUCACAAAUUAUCAUUCUGUGAGGUACAUACUGUGAUUAUAUAUAAGGACACAAAUAAUACAGAAUGUCAACGUUCUUAUGUGGUGUGGUAUAUCAGUGUCGAGUAUUCACACAUAAGGUAACCACGGCAAAAGCCAAGCCAAGCCAACUUGACUGGACACUUCCAAUCUCAAAUUUCAUUAAAUGGUUUAAUAUUGGCACGUUAUCCUGCACACUCGUAAUAAAUAGAUAGUUCAUAUUCUGCCUUCUCACUCUACAGCUUAUUGCAGUAGCAGUCAUGAUUUCCUAGAGCCCUAACCACGUUUACAUUUCUCCGGGAAGCAUCGUGUCCUCUGGUAGAUCACAAAAAGCAAUGCCCUGAAAAGAAAAAGGGGAUAUUAAUCUUAGUAGUAUUAACGAAAAGAAGAGCAAUUUUGUGGUAGAAAAAUAUUAAAAAUAUAUAUACCUCUCCUGUAAGAUGGGCCACACAUUUCUUCUCAGCUAGCAACUCUUGUUCGGUCUGCAAAGAAACGGUGUCAGUCACUUCUAAAAAUGGUUUAAAGAAUUUAUGCAAAGUCCAGGACAUUGAACUGGUUUGAAUUCUUUUUGGUUAGAGUUGGCACAAAACUUUAUUGCUCCUGGCAGCAAAAGCAAACACUAUAUGACUUCUCAGGUCGGUAUCCUAGUGUAUCAAGAGAUGAUUCCAUUUUAAAGGUUGUUUCCAUUUGUAUUCAUGAAACUAAUAUUUGACAUACGUGAAGGACAGAAAUGUAAUAACCAUUCUUAGCAACGUACACUUGGUUGAUCAUGGAAUUAUGCCAUUUUUUAAGUAUCCCAUUCAUAUUCUUAAAAUAUUAUGUAUAAUACUCCCUUUGGACAAGAUUGGAUUUAUCUUUCUUCUAUUGAAAAAAUUCUUAGCAGAAGUAAGUUGGAUCAUACCUUCGCUAUCCGCUUGCGAAGGUAGUCAUCAAAUAUUACAUCCUUGACAAGUUCAUAAUCACCAUCUCCCUGCAUACCGGUGUAACUUUCUUAGAAAUUAACUAAGUGCGUACGAGCACAGAUCUCUUUAUGUUUACAGAAAAUUUAGAAAAUUUAAAAAAAAAAAAAUUAUGAGAAAGAAGAUACUAGAUCAAACUUACUUUUGAUCUGCAUGGCAUGCUGAAGACAAUAUCCUCUGCUAUGCCGUAAGGAUUUCCAUUUGUAUAAACCUACAUUUGCAUUUUUAACUGUCAGAGAAAUAUAAAACUCUAGAAACCAAAGUCGACUGAAAUUUUUUAUUAGCAGAUGAGGUCUCGGUAUGAAGCUAUCUCCACCAAACAGGGCAGGGUUUGGGUGUUAGAAAAAAAAAAUUGUUAAUUGAAUAAAAGAAUUCACACUUAUGAACUCCGCAACCCUUUCAAAAACAAGUAAUGAAGGGCUUGAUAAAUAAUAUCCAGAACUUUCAGCUGUCUAAAUAUAUUGCAAUUUCUACGUAAGAGGUUGUUAGUUUUUCAACUUUCUUUUUUCACGCCACUAGGACAAGUAAAGAUAAUGAAUCUCCAACUAUAAAGUUUCUUGAGAAUAAAUAGCCUGACCUUUCUUAGAAGGAAAAAAGAGCAGGAAACAAUAAACUUACGCCAGAUGAAAACCAAUCACCCUCGGGUGUGGGAGUUACUAGAGACUUCAUGGCAUCAACAAUUGACACAGCAGUGGAUGCAGCUGAAGAUCUUCCCCAUUUCUUAAUCAGUAGUCCACCUCUCUGAAAAUCAAAUUUAUACUUGUUCCUGAAGGCUUAAAAGAGUUUAUAGGAAGACUAUGCAAUUCAUUACAAAUAAAAUUAAGGUGAAGUUAUCAACCAAUCUUACCUUCUGGAUUGUUUCAGUGAACCCCUCUUCCAGCCAUUUGUGGUCCUUGAUAAUCUCUUUCACAGGUAAGCCAUUGAUCCUAGCAUUUAGGAAGUCCGGAACCUGGCAACAGUUUCACAGAGUUCCUUUUAAAAAAUAUUGGAGUAAUUUGACCUAUGUACUAUGUUUACAGUAUGUGCUUGUUGACCUGAGUGGUUGAGUGGUUUCCCCAGAUGGUCAUAUUUGACACUUUGUCGUAGAAUACACCUGCUUUAAGGGCGAGCUGCACAAAAUAGCCAAUAAGCACAGCAACUAUUGACAGAUGGUCAAAGAAUAACUACUUAUGAUUUCUGGGUCUAGUGGGUAAGAGCUAUACCUGGCAUUUUGCUCUAUUUUCAUCUAAUCUAGUCAAAGCAUGAAAGUUCUUUGCGGGUAUGCUGGGAGCAUUUUUCAAACAAAUUAAAGCACUGCAAAUGAAAAGAAAUUACCAAUCAGAGAUAACACAGAGGAAAAAAAAGCCUAGGUAUCAACCAUAGUAGCCAUAAAGGCGAUCUUCUUACUUGGUGUUACAGGGGUUCCCCACAACUAUCACUUUGACAUUACGGGAUGCGACAGCAUUGAGAGCUUUUCCCUACAAAAUUGUGCACCAAGAUCAGAAUUGGAAAUUGUUGCAAAUGGGAUUCAGAAGUAGGUCCAAAAUGCAUAUACACAUUGAACCUGCUCUGCAAAUAUCUGGCCAUUGAUAUCUAAUAAGCCGGCUCUUUCCAUUCCUGGCCCACGAGGCUUUGCUCCAAUCAGAAGGGCCCAUUCUGCAUCUUCAAACAGCUCAUAUGGAUUUAUUCCGAUUUUCACCUCCCUCAACAAAGGAAACAAGGAAUCCUCAAGUUCCAUCGCCACUCCUGCAUACAUGAAGACAUUAAGUUGAUAGAUGCAUCUACAAGGCAAAAAAUAAAAAUGAGAUAUAGAUCUCCAGAAUGAAGGAAACCAGUCUAAACCUGUACGUUGUCAAUUCACUUCUUUGGGUCUUGGAGCAUAUUACAAUCACAUGCACUAAACAUAAAUUGAGAAACAAGGAUAUAAACUAAAAUUUGCAGCUUAGGAAAAGCCUACAAACCUCAGAUGACAAGGUUAAGUUCUCUAAUCAUCCAAUUCUUAUUCCAGCUGAUACCAAGCACCAGGUAUAACAUAUUGGGAUACAAUUUUUAAUUUUUUUUAAAAUAUUGGCAUAGUGGAUAAGAAUGCACGGUGGAAUUACAGUGACUUGAACAGAAUAUGAGACAACUAGAAUACAUUGAUCAAUCUUGUUACUUUCUGUAUUCUUUCAACAAAUUAAUAUCAUUUUAUACUAUCAGUUUUUUUCUACUGUACAGGAGGAUCAAUCAUACACAUUUUCCCUCAAUUAUAAAUUUCAUAGCAUUUACAAACAUAAGCACACACAGACAGAGAGAACAAGAGUUCAGGACAGCUUGUCUGAGAUUGUUGAUUAAAAUGAUAGUAAAAGGUAUAUUAGAGUACCAACCUUCAAGGGCCUGUAAGGACCUUUCAGAUCCCAGUAGUUUCAAUGCAAUCGGUUGAUCUGGCCCUAAAACCUCCCCAGCUGCGAGCUGGAAGAACAAGACAAGUUAGAAAUUCCAUUGCUAUUACAAGGUCAUUUACAUCACUGAAGCAAAUAUAUUAUCCCAAUAUAAAUACACCAAUAAUUUUUAGUUCAAGUUCAACAAUCUGGUUCCCAUAGGAAAUGAAUAAUUUUAUUUGAGGAGGAGAAAAAGAAUGGCAAUAAUUACAAUGUAUGGCCAACAGGGCAAUUAAUCUUGAUUUAUUCACAUAGGACUUUAUGAUGAAAUCUACCAAACAGCUUUUCUUUCAGGAUUAUAAGGCACAGCUGACUGUGUAUACAGUCUAUGAAUGGAAUCAUACGAAUGACAGUUCACUGUUAUUUAUUGUUGAGGACCCACUACCUCAUCCACACCAUUCUAGAGGAAGUUAAAAACACAAAUUCUAACAUCAACCAAAACAUAAUGGUGACCAGAGUCUAUCAAAAAUAAAGAAAGUUACAGAAGUUAAUCACUGUUUACUUGUGAUAAAAAAUUGAUUAACAGGAUUUCCUUACUUUGAAAAGUAAAUGAUUAGCAAUCAUCCCAGCAGCACCCGACACAGCAAUAUUAACCAUUUUCUUCCAGGAUUUUGUCUCCUCUUCCUGUAAAGACAAUUUGACAAAGAUCUCUUGUUAUAAGCACAAAUUGAACACAAUCAAUCAAUAAAGACAAGAUAUCUACAACCCUCAAGCCAAGUCAACAAACAAUAAUCAUAAUAAGCAGAACAAUUCAAUAAAGUGACUCAACAUUUACUCACAUCAACAACAAGAAGCACCAAUAAGAAACAAGCAAAUCAACAAACAAUAUCAAUGCACUUGUAUCACAAACUCCAAAUACAUGCAAAGCAAACCAUUCCCUCUCCAGAACAGAACACGCGCACAUAUGUAUACAUAAUACGUGCAUACUGACACGCCCAGGUAUAGCAAACAAUUAAAGAACUUACAGCUUUGAGAUCAUAUGUGAGACAGAAAACACCAUAGCAAUCGUUAGUCUUGCUCUUAGGAUCAUCUUGUUCAACUGCGACCGGGGCUUGAACUUGACUGAGACACAAAAACAAGCAAAUCCCUUUGAGAUCACUCCAAAAAAAAAGAAAAAAAGCACAGUACUAAUAACAGUAUUAACCAAUGCAAAGAAAUAUAUACACAUGUACAUAUAUAACUCUCUCUCCCUCUAUAUAUUUAUUUAAAUUAAAAAAAAAAAAAAACUGCUCGCUUACUUUACAGAGCAAGAGAUGGUGGGGUUUCUGGGUCGGAUGAUGGGUCGAAAAGCACGGCGACGGAGAGAUGAAAGGUGGGUCGAUGAGAGUGAGAGCUGUGAAGAGCUGAGACGGGUGGUUUCGGUGUAUGAAGAUGGUGAGAGCUGUGCCACCACCGCCAUGUCAGCAGCCAGCAGAGGUAUAUAAAGAAAGUAUUUCGAGAAAAAGAAACAGCAGGUGAACAGAAAAGAUUUAAAACUAAAAAGUCUUGUCUUGAGAGAAAGAUUCGGAAGGCUUAUGUAUGUAUGAGAAAUUGAUGAGAGUGAAAGGAAAGGAGGGGUUUAAUGGUUUGGAGGGAGAGGAGUAGAAGUGUAGAAGCGUAGAAGUGGAAUUAUGGAUGAUUUGAAAUAUUAGUAUAAGGCCGUGCAAGUGACACGUGUAAAGGCCUUGUCAUCCAUAAAAUCUCUAGUGGGUGACUUGGGCUUUUACAGUUUCAUGGUUAGUUAACUGUUUAUGGGGAGUUAGUAGUACAUAUUGGCUUUUUAACCUGUAAUUUGAUUUGUGCUUGUGGUGUUGAAUUUUGGCAUGUGAGUUUGUAAGAAAAGUCCAAUUGAAAGAAGUAUGGGGAUUGGCUUGCUUGUAUGUAUAUGCAAGCUUUGGUUUGGUGAUAGGAUCCAGCUAUCAAUUCUCUUUUGAAUAGUUGAUGAAAUUUUCUAUAACCAUGUAGAAAUAAACUCCUGCCAAUGUAAAUAUUGUCUCAAUUUUGUUGAUACUUGAUUAUACCUACCUAACUGGCUUGCUCAAUUACUUGAUCAAAUUUUGUGCAAACGUUUCUUCAGAUUACUAUAAAAAAAAUUUCAGAUUGACAUAUACUUUUUCAAGAAAUUUAGGUGUUGUUUAUCGUUGCUGUAUUGUAAGUUUAGUUUAGUCUUGAAAGGACAACAACUAAAACUUUAAUUGCAUGUUUAGUAUGUUAGAUUUGAGUGGAUGAGAUUAGACUGAAUAAGAUGACUCCAUUAUGUCAGAUUAUAUUUAGUAUUAUCUUGUGUUCGAAUGAUAGAUGAUUUGACCAAACUGAUUAAAUUAGCUUAAAAGAAUAUUGAAAUUAUUAGUAUAUCAAUUAUUAGAUAUUUAAAGUUAUUUUAUCGAACUUUCUGUGGUAUUGUUAUUAAUAGUAUGUAUUUUGUCGUUUAAAAUUCAUACCAUAGACAAGAUGACUAGUCGAAAGAGUGGAUAGAUAAUUUAUGACAUGUCUUUUGUAUAUUCAAAAUAUAGAUGGCAUGUUGUCAGAUUGUUACCACAAAGUAAAAGUUACAUAUCCUGUUGUUUAUAACUUCAUCAAAAUAAUAACGGCAAGCUGGAAUCACGUAAACAACUUUAUGAAAAUAAUGAUCAAAUUUGUCAUGAAAACUAUUUUUGGACUCUUAUUAUUAACUUAAGUCAAAUUAUUUUUUCUAUCACAUAACUAAAGUCUUAAGUUGAAUUUUCAAUAAGUACAAAUUUUUUUAAUUAUUUUUUUAAACUUUAUUGUUUAUUUUCGAACUCUUAUCUUUUAGUCUGUUUACGAGCUUUUAUCUCAAAUUUAGUUCAAUUUUAAUGUAAGAGGAGGUUCAUAAGCUUUUAGCUUAACCAGUUUUCUAAAGAAUAUGAUUUUCUAUCUCCACAAUUUACAGUAUUCUCUUAUACCAUAUCAGAAUGGAAAUAAUGCUAUAUUCGUUCAGCUGCAAUAUUAUUAUUUGGCAUUUCAUCACCAUAGGAAUAUAUACCAAGGCCAAUAUAUGAGUCAUUUGACUCUAUUCACCAAUUCUUCCUUAUCCAGCUUGGAAUGUUAUUUUGAGUGGCUCCAAGGAAAGCUACGUAUACCCGGAUCCCCAUCAAGAUCCUUUUCUUUUCUUUUUUCUCUUAAUAAGAAUGAAUAUAAAAAAAAUAAAAAUAAAAAGAAUGCAAUAUCCAACAGCCAAGAUCCAAAACCUGAAUGUCAUCUUCAUACUCGAUGCAUCCCACAUUGCUUCUCACAUUAUUUAGGAUAUAAUUUAAAAUAAAAAUUUGAAGUUUUUAUCAUUACUUAUGAUUGAAUGAUUGCAAAAAAUACGGAACAUGCCAACAUGGUCUAGAAAGCCAUUUAACUAAUUAAUUAAUUGAAUAAACACGAUUAACACAGUUUUUAACUAGAUAUACAGUUUGUCUGCAAUAAUUUAAAUAAAUGAAAUGUAAAUUCAAAGUGAUGAAAGUUUCCAUUGGAAAGCCAUUUGAUUUAUCAUGACUGACGAACAAUUAAUCCUUUUAUAAUUUUAAAUAUAUAUACACAUACACACAUAUAUAUAGAAUCAUUUUUUUGUUCGGAAAUCCCAUAUUUUAAAUUCGAAUUAGAAAUUUUUCUUUAUACACACACACUUCUAUAUACGUGAGGCACAACAAUGAAUUUCUGUCCAGUAAAACUUAAUUAGCAUAUAAUAUUUGUGUAACUGUUAUCAAAUCUCUUUUAAUCGAAUUGGAACUUUUUAAAAAAAUAUAUAUUAUGUACAAUUCAAUCUUCAAUAUAAUUGAAGUCCAACAUAUUAAAGUUCAACACAACUAAGAGCUAUUAGCACUGGUUAUAAUUCUUAUAAAACCCCUUUAUCUCUUAACCCUUAAUUAAAUUAAUUAAUUCCACCUCUUAUCAUAAUUAACAUAUAGGGAUGGCAAUAAAGCCAGAUUGGGAGGUCUACCACAUUUCUCACCCUAUUAAAAAUUUCGUCUUCAUACCCCAAUAAAUUUAGUAGGGGUAGGGAUGGAGAAUCUCUAAUAAAAAAUAAUUUUUCCAUCCUCAUCCUAUUUAUAGUAGGUAUAAAUACAUAUUUUCAGUAAACUAAAAUUUAGAUUUAAAUAAAAUCAUUAUCGUAUUAUAAAGUACUUAAAUUAUUUUUAAAAAUCUCUAAAAAUUUGAAACAAUAUCUUAAAAAAAUAUUAAAACUGUAAAAUGUUUGCACACACUUUUGUAUGUCAAGAUUAAGGUACAAUCAAAUUGUUGGCCUAUAGUAGAAUAUUUUUAACUUACUAAACUUUACUGAAAAUUCUUGAAGAAUGAGGUUUGAUUUGUUUGAAGAGAGCGCAACCUUAAAAGAGAAAAAAAAAAUAAAAAUAUUUAAUGGUUAAAUAAGAAUUAUGUUGUAGGUUUUUCAUUUAGUUAUUCUCUAUUUAUAUUAGAUAAAAAAAAUAUAGAGUUUAUUAACCAACAUUGUAAUUGAUAAAAUAAAAUUAUUAAAUAAAAAUUAAAAAAAUAUUUACAUAUAACGAUGAUUGGGAUGGGGGUGGGUGGGGAGUACAAAAUUAAAUCCCACCCUAUUAAGAAUUUGAAAUUAUUUUUCCUUCAUUUUUCAUAAAUUAUUCAAAAUUCACCAGUUGAGAAUUUUCUCAUCCCUAUUAAGAUAAAUGUUGACAUCUGAUCUUUCUUCUUCCUCUAAAGGCUCUGUUUGGUAUAACUUUUCAAGUAGAGCUUUUAUAAAUAGAGUUUUUAUUAAAAAAAAAUUUAGUUGUUUGGUUGUCAAUAAGAGCUUUUAUUAAAAAUUUAUGGAAUUACUUUAAUAGGCAAGUUUUUUAAAGUUAUAUUAUAAAAUAAUAAAUAAGUUGUCUAAUAAGUAGAAGAUAUUUGAGAUAUUUUGACAUUUAAAAAAAGAUUUUCAACCUCUACUCCCAAAAGUAAAAAAUUUGAGCUUUUACUGGUAGAGAUAACUCAUUUAAACUUCAAAAACUCUAUUAAAAAAAUAACCAAACAAUAAUCAAAAUUAUGAUAAGAGCUUAUGAGAUUAAAUAAGUACUUCUGACCAUUAAAUAAGUCAUAACAAAUAGGUACUAGCCCCACCUAUUUUUUGUUUUUGUUAAAUAAAUAAAACUUUUUUCUUUUUCUUUUUUAAUACUAAAGAAGUUUUUUUUCUAAAAUAAAUAAAUAAAUAAGCAUUUUGCAUUGAAUCGGCACUAAUUGUAGUAAAAGAAAACCUUUGUAAUCAACUUGAACAACUUAAAAUGAUAAAAAAUACCAGGGGCUAAAAAGUAGGGGUGGGCAAAAUAUCCGACCCGACCCGAAAAAUUUCGGAUUCGGAUCGGAUCGGGUUAUAAAGGAAACCCGAUCGGAUGAAGAUGGUGAAACCCAAUCGGGUUGUGAUCGGAUCGGGUCAAAUCCGAUCCGAUCCGCAAACCCGAUCGGGUUGCUUUAAAAACAAAAAAACCUAAAUCUAAACACACACGCCACCCACAAACAACCUAAAAAAACCUAAAUCUUUCUCUUCACUCUCUUCUUUCUCUUCUUUCUCUUCUUUCUCUUCUUUCUCACUCUCCGUGUUCUUUCUCUUCACUCUCUUCUUUCUCUUCUUUCUCUUCUUUCUUACAACUCACACAAACAACUCUCUUUUUUCUCUUCACUGUCUUCUUUCUCUUCUUUCUCGCAACAAAACUACAGACGGUUAGCACAACAGCGGGCCACAUGCAGCACACCACUCGACCAGAUCUGCUGCACUGACGACAGGAUCUGCUUGCUGCUGCAUCGACGGUUGCUGCACUUCACUUCGAUCGGAUCUGCUUUUCUGGUAGCCACUGACAAAACCCGUGAAGCCAUGAGCCAUUGACGAAACCCGUUGCCGCUUGAUCCAUCGGCUGCUGCUUGACCCGCGCGAAGCGAUCCAUGGUUGUUCUUCCAACGAGACUGAGACUGAGAUUCAUGACACCAAGUCCUCCAAGCUCACAACUUUUUCAAUUCUAUUUCAGUUUAUUUUUUUUUUAUGACAGUCACUGGAAAGUGGAAAUGGACUAAAAUGAACUAAUUGCAUAAAAGUGAUCUUGUAAUUAUUAAAUAAUUAUUAAACAACCCAAAAUUAACACAAAUGACUCUUUUUUGUCCUUAACCCGAAUUGACCCGAAAUUGAUCCGAAUUUUAGAUCCGAUCCGACCCGACCCGAAUAUAACCCGAUCCGAUCCGAUCCGAUUUAAAAUUCGGGUUGAGUUCGGAUGAGUUUCUCUCCAACCCAAUGAACCCGAAAUCCGAUCGGGUUGAUCCGAACCCGAUUUUGCCCACCCCUACUAAAAAGUCUUGACGCUCAUAUCUACAAUUACAAAAUUGCAAAAAAAAUGAUUCUUAAGACAUUCUCUGGAUGGUUACCUUUAGCCUGAGUUUGAGAAUCCUCUUCUUCCUCCGAGAAAUUAGGCUGUAAGGAUAUUUGUGGAACUAAAAUGGAUGUAAUUACUAGGAAAGAGAUUGCAAUUAAAUAUUUAAUAGGGGCAUUUAAAAUAGGGGUUUUAUGAGGGUAAUAAAGGUGUGUUAAUAGAUUCACUUUUUUUUAAUAUUAUAUACAAUUCAAUCAAAGUACAUUAUAAUUAAAGUCCACUCCAUCUUAAAGUUAAGUAGAAGAGGUGUCGACCAAUCCGAGUUAAAGUUAUUGGCUAAUCAAAUAUGAUUUAUUGUUAUUUUUAUUGCCUAAACGCAUGCGACUUGUUAAGUUUUUUGAAUUUAUAAAACAUUAUUUUAAAAUAAUUUUAAGCACAAAUGCAUUUUUCUCUUUUAACUCUUGUUUGGAAAGUACGUGAUUUAUAAACCAUACAUUCUUUAUUUUAAAAGAUCACCAUUAUUAAAGAAACGAACAUCUCCAUGGAUUAGAUCCAUUUAAAAAUUACACGUGGAAUCUUAGUUUUUAAAAUAACUUGCUUUGAACUAUGUAGUUGUGGUGAGUAUUAUGUGAAAUCUCAAUUUUCCCUAUUUUUAAUUUUUAUCUUAUGUUAGUGACUAUGUUUACAUUGCAAAGCAUAUAGUCAAUGACCAAAAAAAAAUUUUUAAUAAUGAUAAAAAGUAAUAUAAAAAAGAGGUAAUAUAAAAACUUGAAUGAAGUUUGUAAUUGCCUUAAUUAUUAGGACAAAUAGCACCUUUAUUUUAUAAAUAAAUCACAAAUGAAAGUGCCUCAAGUAUAAUUUAUUUAUUUCACUAUUUAUAUAAAAGAAAUUGCUUUUUCUUUUGAUCAAAGGAGUCUUGAAGAUUAAUAAAUAUGAUUUUGUUGAUGAUUUAUAAAGUAUGACUUUUAGAUAAUUUCGUAGACCCUGCUCUAUUGUUAAUAACACUGACUUAGUUUUUUUUUAAAAUACUUUUGUGCCAAUAAUAUGAUUUUAUAUUUUUAUUGUGAUAUGACUACAUCAAAUUUUAAAAAUAAAAUUAUUAAUUAAUCAAAGACCAAGUACUCUCAGAUAUUCCUUUUUAUUAUCAGAGAAUUCUCAUAUUCUGCUCUCAACUAAUUAUGACAAGGAUAGAUUACAAAUAGAUAUAGGGACAUUGAUCUCCUCCCCCUCCCCCUCCCCUUCACUCCCCUCAGCCUUUGCCACUUAGGAAACAAAAGCAUCAUUAAUUAGUUAUAAAUUGAUAUAAUGAUUUAAUGUCCAUUGACAAUCUAAAUUAAUCAACACAUAGGUAAACAAUAGCUUUAUUUAUUAAUAAAGAUAAAGUAUACGUAGACGUAAAUAAGAAAUUUUUUUAUAUAUCUCAAGAGAUUUUAGUAUUUGAAUGUCCUUUAUUCAAUUUAUUAAACAUAAUACACAAAAGUAGUACUACACUUAACUACUGUAGUUAGGAUUUCUCCCAUAUUGAGGGACAACAACAAGAUCAAGAUUGUCAUCUAUGAUUUCAUCAUUAAUAGUAGUCACCCGAAACCAUUUACCCUCCGACCAUUUGUUCCCACCGAAAAAUUCAUAUUAAAAAAAAUUAUUCGUAAAUGCAAACAUUAAAAUAAUAAUCAUAAAUGGUAUUCAACUGAAAUUAGCCUAAAACCUGCGCAAGAUGUUUCCAUUUUCUUCAUAUCAGAAAAGAUAUCUGCUUAUGGCGAAAAGUAAUCAAAACUCAAAAUUAAGCUGUUCUUGCGAGUUCUUGCUUCUGGUUUGAUGUAACAUACAUGUGUAGUGCAUUGUGUAUAUAUAUAAUGAAGUAGCCGAUGGUGGGUGUGAUUGGGCAUUGUUAAUGCUUGAAAUUAAUUAAUUGUACAUAAAUAGCACGGGCCCCAUGGCUCACUAUUAACUAAGGGAAAUUUACAAAAAUAGCCAAAAAAUUAAGCGUUUUUCAACUUUAACCCCCCCAAAUUUUUUCUAUCAACAUUAGCCAAAUCACCAAAUUGUGGACAAAAUUGCCCUCCUCAUUCUCACGUUUCCCUCAAGCAAAUUCCUCCCCCUCUCACCCAAAAUAAAAUUUCAUCACCGGAAUCCUGUAUACAUUGUCGACGGCGUAGAUCGGCAUCGGAGGAAGUUUUCGGCGGCUGAAACAAGCUAAAUCACGUUGAAAAUCUUCGGAGAUCUCCAAAAUCAAAGACAAAAAUUGGAAACCCUAGGUGAGUUGUUAUUGCCGUUGUUGUUGUUGUUGUUGUUGUUGAUGAUGAUGUUGUUGUUACUGUUGUUGUUGUUUGGGUUGUUGUUGUUGUUUGGGCUGUUAUUGUUGUUGUUGUUGGUGUUUAAUGGCGGUGGUGGGAGAUGCAUGUGGGAAAGGGAAGGGAAGAGAAAGGGAAGAGAAAUGGAAGGGAAAGGGAAGGGAAAGGGAAGUGAAGGGGAGCAUCCCGCGCGCGAGGCCGUAGCUGUCGCAUGCGAGAUGCCCGCGGCAUGCGCAUCUCGCGCACGCGAGGCUGCGCCUGUCGCACGCUAGAUGUGCGCGGCCUCGCGGGCGAGAUGCGCAUGCCAUGCGUAUCUCGGGUGCGACAGGCGCGACCUAACGCGCGAGACGCAUGCCAGCCUGCGCACGCUUGGCGCAGCCUCUUGGUGCCUGUCGCACCAAGAGACAACGCGAUGUUUGGUGCUGCCUUUUUUUUGUGCUUUUGUUCAUAAUUUAUUAAUAUAUAAUACUUUUAACUUGUACCAGAUAAAUGGGAAAAUCAAAAAUAGCAUUGCAUAACCCACCCGGACCGACGAAAGAACCAGGUUUGGAGCAACCAAGUUUGAAGGCAAAACUGGAGCAAGACUCACUAGGAGAUUAACUGUUGUCCUCCUCCUCGAACGGGCCAUCGGAGGAAUAUGUCGGUUGUCUCUAUUGUUAAUAGGAAUAUCAUACUGAUGCUCAUCCUCAUCAUUGAUAGGAAUAUUGGAAUUACCAAUGCCCCUAUCAUCAACUUCAGUAUUGGAGUUCAUGCCUUGCACACUAUUGAACGGUUCCAAACAAGCAUUAUCAGCUUCUGUGUUGUUGGUGUCAUAACCAGGAUCAUCAUAACUGCGGAACUCAUUAUUGUGAAAUGGAGAGUAAUGUUGAUCUAACGAUGUCCCUAAUGGUAACACAUUUUCUUCAACAUCCACUAAUGUAAUGCCAUUAUCAUCAAUAGUGUCAUUGUUUUCGUUGAUUGGUGAGUAACGUUGCUGGAACGACAUUUAUUGUGGUAACACCUUUUCCUCAAUAUCGGGGACAGACUCGUUUGCUUUAAACGAAGUUUCACUUUCCACAAGUGGCUCAGGAUUUUCGGCCGGAACUCGAGGAUCUGUGGUGACAAAUAUAGGGAGGCAUCCAUAAUUGACCACAUCAGAGGCCAUGUGCAGCACAACAUUAACCAUUUCAUCAUUAAAUAUGUCCAUAGGUAGUGAACAUGCACGAUACAUUGUGUUACUAGACCUCAAAGUUGUCUUCAUCGUCGAACUAUAUACAUUAGGAUUUAUCUGUAAAACUUCAUACACCCUUGCCAGGAAUUGCUCAAACGUACAAUCUUUCCGAACUAAAAAUGAUGUAUUCUUCACAUUCACGUACUCCGUACGGCCAUCUGCUAACGUCUCCCACCAACCGUCGUAACAUAAUUGAAGUACAACGGAAUCCAUUAAACCUAAAAAUUAUUUUAAAAAAACAAAAGAGAUAAGAUUCCACACUACAAAACCUAGUAAAGUGAAUAUACAGUACAUUUAUGUGGAUGAAAUGAAGUAUACAAUUUUGGAUUUGCUUCGUCUCAUCGUAAGCUUCAAAACGAUAUAUUAUACGCCUAAAACGGACACAUGUAGCCCAAGUUAUUACUUUUGGAAAAUAGCUCAAAUUUAGUGAGACAGGCAGUGGGACAUGUGUCUGUCUCACAUAAAACCAGUGGGAACAAGUGAGACAGGCGCCUGUCUCACAUAAAACCAGUGGGUUUAUAUGUGCGACAGGCGCCUGUCCCACUUGCCUGUCGCACAUAUUUUGGUGAGACAGGCAAGUGGGACAUGUGCCUGUCUCACAUAAAUCUGCUGGUUUUAUGUGAGACAGACGCAUGUCUCACUUGUUCUGGGCUUCUAUUUUGCUCGAUUUUUUAGGGGUUUCAAUUAUUGAUUUUCAUUUCUCAACUCAAACUAACUACUUUAACAAGUCACAUUGUUUUGUUAAUGAAAAAUAACAACGUUUGCAAUAAAAACUCACUUCAAUUUCGAACUCAAAUGAUAAAAUCAAUAGAUUAAAAGUUUAGGUUAUGGUAAGAGUAUAAACUAACCUUAAGAAGCUCUCCAAUUGAUAAUUAGAUCUUCAAUUAUGUAAUGCUUGUUUGAUGAAAUUUAUUAAUUUAUUGAGAGUGAUGGAGUUUGUUGAGUGAUGAAGUUUGUUAGGUUGAAAAGAGAAAAGUGGUGGGAAGUGCUGGAAUUGAAAAGGGAAAAGUGGCAUGCCUUUGUAAAUUUGAUGAAAGUGAUGAGGGUAAUGUAGUCCAAGAAUAAGGUAUUUGGCUAGUUAUGAUAGAAAAAAUUUUGAGGGGUUAAAGUUGAAAAACACUUAAUUUUUUUGGCUAUUUUUGUAAAUUUCCCAUUAACUAAGAAUAAUUGUAGAUAGUAAUCAUAGUUUUUAACAUAGCUUUUGACUAGAUGUGUAUGCAUGGUUUGUCCGCAUUAGUUAUACAUUGAACAUAGUUUUGACAUUUUAUUAUUAUAAGUAAAUAUGUAGUUUGUCCCCAGUCAUUCGGUAUAUAUCGAACAUAGUUUUGACAUCUUAUUUAGUAGUAAUAACUAUUUACUUAAUUUUAUAAUUUUUUUAAAAAUAAAAUACCUAAUUUGUUAAUUUUUUAAAAAAUUUUAUGUUGUUUUUUUGAAGUAAAAUUUUUGGGGCUUAAAUAAACUAUUUUGUCUCUACUAGUGAAUAUCUAAAUUUUGAAUUUUUGGAAGUAUAGAUUGAAGAGCUUUUGUGAAAAGUUUAAUUGUCUAAAAUAGUCAUUAUUUAUUCUACAUUCUUAUUUUCUUCUUUUUUAUAACAUAACUUUAAGAACUUGUCUAUUAAAAUAAUUUUAUAAUUAUUAAUAUCACUACAAGAAAACAUGCAGUAGAUGACGGGAAAUAAUUGUCAUAAAAGUGGGUGCAUGACAGACAGUUCAUCCGUCAUCUAUAUUAUUGUCAUUAAUUUAUGAUAGAAUAUUUUCCGUCAUGAAUUCAUGAUGGUAUUUUACAGUCAUAUCUUUGUCACACAAUAUUUUAAUGUGAAUAAAUAAAUAAAUUAAAAUUUGAAUUUAUUUAAAUUUUCGCGCCAUUUUUUUAAAAUUUUGGCGGAUUAUAUUAUCAUUUGUAAAUUUAUUAUUCAAUUUUGGCGGGAAAUUGUUUAUGACAUACUUUAUGAUGAGUAUUUUCCGUCAUAAAGUUAUAUUGUUUUAAAAAAUUAUGAUUAUAAUUUAUUUGUGAAUUCCUGUUUACAAAUUUCAUUAAUUAAUAAAAAUGAAUAUCAUCAAAAAACUAAAAGCAAUUAAUAUUAAGGAAUAUUAUCAUUUUACUACCUAAGUUUUACUGACAUAUCAUGUCAGUACUAAGGUUUGCAUAAAAGUGCAUUUUACUACCAAAGUUUUGCGCUGUUAUCAAUUCACUACUAUUCCGUUAACAACGUUAAAAAUUUACUGAUGUCAUAAGGGCAUCAAAGACAUGUCUAGCUGUAAGAGUAAAAUUGUUUGUUAAUUUGAUAGAUAAAUUAUCAUUUUACUACCAAAUUUUUAGGGAAAUUAUCAUUUUACUACCAAACUCUUAGGGGUAAAAUUGACUUUUAAUUCAAUUUCCGUUAAACAUUAACUUUUUCUUAACGGAAUGGUAAUGAAUUGAUAACGGCGCAAAACUUUGGUAGUAAAAUGCACUUUUCAGCAAACCUUGGUACUGACAUGAUAUGUCAGUAACACUUUGGUAGUAAAAUGAUAAUUUCUCUAAUAUUAAUUAACAUCCAUUCAUUCCAACAAGUUAAUUUCAAAAUAAAUACAUAUUGUAUCUAAUAUUGUCAUCACUACCAAUACAUAAUCAACAUCUCAAAUUAAAAAAAAAAACAUUCAUCAAAUUAAACUUCAAGAAAAGCAACUCAAAUUCCAACCACCAAGUCAACAAAACUUCUAGCAGCAAUACAUCGUCCAACGGCAAUAGUCCAAUAGCCAUAUACCCAGCAACACUCCAACCCCAACCCAGCAAACCAAUCUAUUCAGAAUCAAUCAAAAUACCCAAUGUUAUCGAAUGCACAACAUGUACACUACAAUCUUAACAGUAACCAUUAUAAUUUGACACUAUAACUUUAAUUUCAACAAAUUUUUACAACUAAUAUUUAUAGUUUCAUACUCAUACUAAACAUUUUGCUGAUGCGACAAGGAUGUCGGAAAAAUGGUUAGCCCACUCUAAACGAACCUCAUCUAAUUCAUCAUGUGUAUACUUUCUUUUCAUUAAACUAUUAAUCACAAGAUUAUUGAGAGGUCAAACUUCAAAAAUAAUGUGACAUAUAUGGAAUAAAAGAAAGUUAAGAAAUCUCAUCAUCAACUUACAUUGUUCAUUAAAAAACUAACAUAUGCUAUUAUUUCCUUCAUGUACCUUAACACAUAACAUAGCCACACUCCAAUUUUGUGAUAUUUUGUUUCGGAGCCUGCUGAUGCAAAAAAAAAAAAAAAAAAAAAUCUUACAAAAAAUAAUCCAUUUUAGUUAAGGUACGUAAUCGAUAGGCGCAUAUAGUUUUUGUAGGGUUACUUUUUUUUACCUUCACAAUUAUCAUCUUAGUAUUAUAAUUCCAUUUUUCCUUACUAUCCUCUACUGUGAAGAGUGUCAUGGUGCUGUAAAAAAAAAAAACUAAAUUGUUAUCUCUUAAUCAUAUUAAAAAAAUUAAAAUAUCAAUUGCAUGAAAUGGAUUGACAUACAUAAAUUUUAAGGAGAUGUUCUAAAUCAGUAUCAGGACUGGACUGCAUAGAAUCCACACAAAACACUUCCUUUUUCACCAUGUCAAACACAACUAAUACCCAAUGGAAGUUACAAUAGGAGAAGACAAUGGAAAAAAAGCAUAAAACAAAACCAUGAAUUAACAAAUAGCUGUAAAAAUAAUAUAAAUUCAGAAACAACUAUAAAAGUUUUAAAUGAAAAUUAAAACUUACGAAGAAUUGUAUGGCAUCAAAAUGAGUUGUCCGUUUUUGGCUUUUUCAAGCGGUCGUGAAUAUCCUCAAACUCUUUUCGAGCGAAAUUUUUAUACAGCCUUUGGAUUUGUUGGGCAAACCAAACUUAGACACAUGAAUCCAAAUGGUUUUAUUCCUUUUCUGGUUUGUAGAAUGGUGGAAUCCAAUAUCCUGGAUAGAAAAGUAGUGCAUCAAUAAAUUAUAGUAAGUAAAUUAAACUCUAAUGAGUGGAAGAUAUACAAGGAAAAGUACUUAAACCAAGAAAAAUUUGGGUAAUUUUAUAAUUAAAGUAAGCUUAUGUACAUCUCCCUCACUGUCAUCAUCAUUGACCAAAUUAUGUAGGAAAGUGGAUUUCCUACAUCUGAAUGGCGAGGUGUCCUCUUCAAUUAUUUGCAAAUUUCUCGCAUGUCAUCUACUAAUUUUUUUCCAAGCAUCUAGCUCCCUCUCUCUCUCUCUCUCUCACUUCAGAUGGGUCCACGAAGGCUAUGAAAGUACAUAGAAGCAUAUAUAAAUUUUCUCAAACCUUGCAUAUGACCAGUUCGAGGAAGCUUUCACAAUGUUUGUGCAAGUAAGUCAUUUCUUGCAUCCGAAUUCAAAGAGUCUUUUUUGUCCUCCUUUUCUAGCAUUUCCUAAUAGUUCACCAUAAAGAAACUAUCGCGUGUAUCCUCAAAUUGAUUUUCAAGUAGGAAAGAAAGCAUAGACUAGUGUUUUCUUCUCUAUUGCGUGUAUCCUCAAAUUCAUUUUGGAUAGAAUAAACAAAUUAAUUUAUUUUGACGUCUUAAUUUUUAUUUUUAUUUAUAUAAAAAUAUUCUUAAUUAUAAAGAUCUUGGUCCUCUACAAGUUGCAAAAAUUAGCCAACUAAUAUUCACAAAGUGCGAGAAAAUGAUUACACUGAAACAACCUAAUCAACAUAUUUACAGAGAAAAGUUAUAUUUUUUUAAUUAUUAAAGCCAAUACGAUCCCAUUUCAUGAAGCUGACAAAACGGAAACAUUAUUGAGUUUACUGAAAGAAGAAACUAUGUUUCUGAUAAUGAUAAAUUUAAAAGUCUGAAUGAAUAAAACUAAGGUUUUGAGUCCUUUUUAUAACAAGCUUAAAUAUCGUAAAUUUAUCAAAAUAGGUAAAUCUGAAAUAUAAUAUAAUAAUUAAACUCUUCUAAUCAAAAUAAGAAAAGGAAAAUAAACGGCACUGAAAUCCAAAUUCUAGAAAGAAAGAUAAAAAUCCUAAAAGAAUCAAGAAAAAUAAGAAAAAGUUUUAAAACUAGAAAAUGACCAGAAAAAAAAGCAGAAUUUUCGACCGACCACGGGGUACAACAACUAAGACAUUUUAGAUUUUAUUUGCCUCGUCGUAAGAUUUGAAAUAAUAUAUUAUACGCCGAAAACGGACACAUAUAACUCAAGUUAUGACAUUCUGAAGGUACCCUACUCGCGACACACAACACCCUACGUCAUAAAUUCUUUGCUUUUUUUUUUUUCAAUUUCUGUGGAAGAUGUCAGGAUUUAUAAAUCAACUUCAUCACGUCACGAAAAGAUUUUAAUCAAGUAAAAACAAAAGUCAUGGAAGAGUCAAUUAAUAUUAUCAUUUUUCUUUGUUCAUACCAUAUUGUAAUCACAUGCAUUACAAUAUUAUGCUAAAAAAUAUAUAUCUUUUUUAAUCAUUUGUGUAUUAUCCAAAUUAUAAAAUAAAAUUUAUGUUCGUGAUAAUGUAGGAUUUUUAUAAAAUGGUUAGCUUCCAGAAUAUUAGAGAAUAAAUAUAAGAAUUAAACAGGUAAAAACAGCUCCUAGAUUUUCUGUGGGAAUUUGAGCCUUUGGAUUAUUUGCACAGAAACAAAUGUAUCAAGCCGAAUGUGAAAUAUGUCACUGCCGGUUUUAGGGCUAAUAGCUGCCGUUUUAAUAAUUCAAUUGCCAAUUUUAAUUAUUUAUAGGGCCACGAGAUUUAUCUCUGCUGGGUUAGUGCAAAUAAAAAUUAUUAUUAUUAUUAUUAUUAUUAUUAUUAUUAUUAUUAUUAUUAUUAUUAUUAUUAUUAUUAUUGUUGUUGUUGUUGUUGUUGUUGUUGUUGUUGUUGUUGUUGUUGGCUCAAUCAAGAUUCAAUGCAUUGAAUGGUUGAAAAAUGGAAAAUAAUGUUUUUAACUUUCUUAGCUUCUGUUAGAAAACAAGAUCAUCUUGUUUUCACUCGAAUUAAAAAAAAUAUAUAUCCACAGAAAUUGAUGCCACUAAGGCAAUAUCAAACGCACCCUUAUAUGCUACGGAUCUAUUGAGAUUUUGGACCAUCCAAUAAAAUACAUUACAUGUGUUUUAAGUUAAUUUUAGUCUCUAAUAUGAUUGUGAAUCUUAAAAAAAUUUAUACGUUACAUUAAUUGGACGGAUGCAGAAUGAGUACCCUCAGGGAUUUUCUCCAUUCGGGGAGGGUAUGGGAAUAAUUUCAUACCCAAUUUCUUAUUCGGGGAGGGGACGGGGAUGAGGUGGAAUCCCCAUCCCCUACCCAUUUCCCCAUUUUAAUUUUUAAUUUUAUUUUAAUUUUUUAAAAUUACUAGUAAAUAAAUAAUAAAAUUUAAAUUAUAAAAUUAUAAAUAUUGGAAAAAAUAAAAAAAAUAUCAAAAUAUUUAUAUUAUUAAACUUUUAGGCCUAAUUAACUAAUUAAAGUCCUAAAUUUUUAUUUAGGACAUUAAAAAGACUGAGUAGAUUCUAUUAGCCCAAAAUUUUUUAUUUUUAAUAUUCUUUAAAUAUUUUAAACUUAAAUAUAUUUUUUAUUUAUUUUUAGAUGUUAUAAUUGCCCACAGCGAAUCACAAUUUUAAUAUCUAAUCUAAUCUAAUCUAAUCUAAUAUUUACUCUUGAUUUGCUCCGAUUUAACUAUUGUGUUGUAAAGGGAACAAUCCACAUUUAUAAAGUGCCCACGCCACCAUUGAAAAAGUUAAUUUUGAAUCUAAAUUCGAUUUUAUUUGUAACAAUUUUGUAUUAGACUAUUAAUUUGUUCAUGAUAGUUUGUAAAAGAAGUUUGUAUCCCUUGCAUGCUGCGUUACUUACUAAUUUAAUGUAUGUGACUUUUGUAAUCGAUAUUAAUGUAAGAUAUAUUUCAAACUUUACUUUUAUUUGAAUUUUUUAUUUUAACAUGAUUAACUCAAAAAAAAAAAAAAUGUAUUAGUUAUUCGGGGAUCGGGGACCCUCGAGGAUCCCAUGUUAUUAUUCGGGGAGGGGAUGAGGAUUCUCUCAAGUAAUUCUGAUGGGGACGGGGAGGGGACGGGGACAUACGCAAAAUAUCGGGAAUGGAUACGGGGAGAUUGGUCCCCUCCCCUCCCCUCCCCAUUGCCAUCCCUAAGAAUGACAUAGUACACCCAUCUCGUGUAAGUUUGUCUCGCAAUGAUCAACUGUUUGGGCCUUUUGGACGCUGCCUUUCAUUUAUGUGAAAUUGGCCUUUCCUUCGAAACCCAACUAAAACUGAGUGAAAAGAGUCGCUAAAUUACUGAACAAUAAUAUCUUGCUAAGUUGAGCAUACUACGAGGGAAUAGGAUCCUCUCAUGAUCUGAAUUCUAUUGAGUUUUUAAAGAUCUUUUGUCAUGUGUCUUUUAGUGGUAGUGUAUGGGUAAGAUUUAAUUUCUUUUAUUUUUUAUUUAUUAACAACCAAUCAAUAAUUUAGUUAUUUGUCACAUCUCGGGAUCAAUCAUACGACAAGUCAGUUUCUGUAGAAGAACUGAUCGAAUGUUGUGUCUCAGCUGAUGAGUUACCGAGUUGUCAGCUGACGCAGCAGUACUCUACUCGUCAGGCACAACGGGGACGAGUAAAAGUGCAAUAUUAACGCAUGCAACUGUUGAGAUGGACGAUGGAUGUAAAUAUUAUAUACAAUUCAAUCAAAGUAAAUUAAAAUUAAAAGUCCACUCCAUCUCAAAGUUAAGUAGAAGACAAGUCAACCAACCUUAGCAAGAUUUAUUGACUAAUUGAACCAGACUUAUUGUUAUUUUUAAUAGUUUUCUGAUCAGAGAUUUUAAAGUACGGAAAAGUCCGGAAAAACUUUAAAAUCGCACAGCUUUAAAGGCUUACAGUUUAAGCCUUUAAAACCAUGCGGUUUUAAAGUUUUCCUAAACUUUCCCGCACUUUAAAAUUUCGGACUAGAACAUUUCUCUUGUUAUUUUUAUUGCCCAAACGCAUGCGAUUAAAUAUUUUUUUUUGAAUUUAUAAAACAUUUAUUUUAAAAUAAUUUUAAGCAUAAAUGCAUAUUUCUCCUUAACUCUUAUUUGAAAAGUACAUGAGUUUAUGGAAUAUAUGUUCGCUAUUAAUAAAAGAUCACCAUUAUUAAAGAAAUGAACAUCUCAAUGGACCUAGAUCCAUUUGAAAAUUACAUGUGAAAUCUCAGUAUUUAGGAGAACUUGCUUUAACCUAUUUAAUUGUAGUGUUUAUCAUGUGGAAUCCCAAUUUUCCCUAUUUUUAAUUUUUAUUAUAUGUUAGUGAAUAUAUUUACAUUGCAUAGCAUAUAGUCAAUGACAAAAAAAAAUCUUAAUAUUGAUAAAAAGUAAUAUAAAUAAGAGAUAAAAUAAAAACUUGAAUGAAAUUUAUCGUUGCCUCAAUUAUUUGGAGAAAUAGCACCUAUAUUUCAUGAAUAAACCACAAAUGGAAGUGCCUCAAUUAUAAUGCAUUUAUUUCAUUAGUUAUAAAAGAAAUUGCUUUUUUAUUUUGUCAAAAAAUUCUGAAGAUUAAUAAAUGUGAUUUUGUUGAUGAUUUAUAAAUUAUGACAUUUAAAUAAUUUCAUAGAUUAUGCUCUAACGCUAAUAACAACAACUUAGUUUUUUUUUCUUUUUUAUACUUUUGUGCCAAUAAUAUAAUUUUUUAUUUUUUAUUGUAAUAUGAUUAUAUCAAAUUUAAAAAAUAAAAAUAUCAAUUAAUCAAAGAUUGAAUACCCUCAUAUUCUUCUUAUUAUUUGAGAAUCUUCAUAUUCUCCUCUCAAGCAAUUAUGACAAGGAUAGAUUAGUUAUAAAUUGAUAUAACUAUUUAAUGUCUAUUGACAAUCUAAAUUAAUCAACAUAUAGGCAGACAAUAGUUAUAUUUAUUAAUAAAGACAAAAUAUAAAUAGACACAAAUAAAAAAAUCUCUUAUAUAUCACAAGAGAUCUUAAUAGUUGAAUUAAACUAAACUGACUGUUUAGCACAUGUCCUUUAUUUAAUUUAUUAAAUAUAAUACAAAAAAGUGACAUUAUACUUAACCACUAUAGUCAGGAUUUCUUCCGUAUUGAGGGACAAUAAGAAGAUCAAGAUUGUCAUAUACGAUUUCAUCAUUAAUAGUAGUCAACCAACACCAAUGACCCUCCGACCAUUUGUUUCCACCUGAAAAAUUCAUAUUAAAGAAAUUACUCAUAAAUGCAAAGAUUAAAAUAAUAAUCAUAAAUGGUAUUCAACUGAUAUUAGCCUAAAACCUGCGCAAGAUGUUUCCAUAGUCUUCAGAUCAGAAAAGAUAUAUGCUUAUGCCGAAAAGUAAUCAAAACUCGAUAGUAAGCUGCUCUUGCGAGUUCUUGCUUCUGGUUUGAUAUAACAUACAUGUCUAUUGUAUAUAUAGAAAUAAAUAGCCGACAGUGGGUGUGAUUGGGCACACAGUUAAUGCUUGCAAGUGAUUAAUUGCACGCAGUUAGCACGGGUCUCAUGGCUCACUGAUUAACUAAGAACAAUUGUCGAUAGUAAUUGAACAUAGUUUUUGAACAUAGAUGUGUAUGCAUAAUUUGUCCGCAGUCGUUUAUAUAUUGAACACAAUUUUGACAUCUUAUUAUUAUAAGUAAAUAUAUAGUUUGUCCACAGUCAUUUAUAUAUAUUGAAGAUAAUUUUGACAUCUUAUUUAGUAGUCAUAGGUACUUAUUUAAUUUUAUAAGUUUUUUUUUAAAUAUUUUUGUUAUUUUUUUUUAGUUGCACUUUCGAGACUUACAUAAACUAUUUUAUCUCUACUGGUAAAUAUUUAAAUUUUGAAUUUUUGGAAUAGAGAUUGGAGAAUUUUUUUUGGAAAGUCCAAUUGUCUGAAAUACUCAUUAUUUAUUUUACACUCUUAUUUUUUUUUUAUAACAUAACUUUAAAAACUUGUCUAUUAAAAUAUUGUGGAACAGCCAAUUAAUAUUAUCAUUUACCUUUUUUCAUACCACAUUAUAAUCAUAUGAAUUACAAUAUUAUGUUAAAAAAAUUAAAUUUUUUAAUCAUUUGUGUAUUAUCCAAAUUUUGUAUUUUAUAACUUAUGUUCGUGAUAAUGUACAAACGCUCUAUUUAAGGAUUUUUGUAAAAGUGUUUUCUACUUCUAUUUUUAUUUCUCUCUGUCACACAAUUCCCAAAUGUAGUCAACAGAAAAUGGUUAGCUUCUAGAAUAUUAAGAAUAAAUAAGAUAAGAAUUGAACGGGUGAAAACAGCUGCUAGAUUUUCUGUGGGAAUUUGAGCCUUUGGAAUAUUUGCAUAGAAACAAAUGUAUCAAACGCACCCUUAUAUACUAAUUCAUUACACGUGUUUUAUGUUAAUUUUAGUCUCCAGUAUUUUUGUGAAUUUUAAAUAAAUUUAUACGUGGAAUACAUUAAUUGGACGGAUGCAGAAUGACACGGUACACCCUUCUCGUGUAAGUUUUUCUCACAGUGAUCAACUCUUUGGGCCUGUUGGACUUGGGCUUUCAUUUAUAUAAAAUGGCCGUCCCUUUGAAGCCCAACUAAAACUGAGUGAAAAGAAUUGCUAAAUUACUCUAGACCGUGUAUAAUAGAUGUGUACACAUCACUCUCUUUCUGUUCAUUCAAUUUAAAAUCCCGCCACAACAAAAAUGUUUACAACUAAAAUUUGACAUUAAUUAAACAAUUUUAUUUUCAAUAAAUGAUUUCAUUCAAAAGCUAAAGACGAGGCUCUACAAAUUGUGGAUAAGAACGUAUGAAAAAUCUUCCAUCUAAAUGACUCGUGACUCAAUUGUAAAAUAAUUUAUGUCAAUUAAUGAGCCGCAAUAUUAAAUAAAAAAACAAGCGAUAUAUACAACUCAAAAGAAUCAUUAGAGUUCCUUUUAGAAUGAAGAAAUAGUAAUCCCAUCUCAAUCACUAGAAAUUUUAAAAUAAAUUAAGGUGAUGUUUGGUUUAAAGAAAAGUAAAGAAAUGAGAGGUGAGGAAAGUGAAAGAAAGGAGAAGAGAGCACAUUGAAACUCUUUUCUAAUGCUUGUUUGUCAUAAAAUUAUACAAAGAAAUGAAAUGCUCUAUUUUUUGUUUGGACAAUUUCGCUCUUUAAUUUUAAAAUUUCAAUAUUUCUCAUAAUAUAAUUCAAAAAAAUUAUACAAUAAAUUUAUUUAAUAUGCUACAUAAACAACUAAAAAAUUAUUUUAAAUAAUCUAGUUAUUUUUAUAAUUUAAUUCUAUUUAAAAGUUUACUAAUAUAAUUUUAUUUAAUAAUUAAUUUAAUUUAAUUUGUUUCUAAAUAAAUAAAUUAAUAUAUUUUAAUUUUUAAAUUUUAUUUGAAAGCCCUAAAAAAAAGUAAAGUUGCCGCUACCACCAUUGGAGCCACCGAAUGUCGCCGUUAACCAUUAUUGUGCCAUGUCAUUUCAACUCCAGAAUUAUGUGAAAAUUAUCAUAAAUUGACAAUCUAUAGAUUGAAGCAACUUAUUAGACCAAAAUACUUUAUGUUUGUUUGGAUCUAGGAAAGUUAGAAAGUUUUUAAAUUUUUUUAAUUGGAUUUGAAGAAAAAAAAUCAUUUUUCACUUGUGUGACAAUAUAAUGAUGUUGCUGGUUGGCCGACGAGUCCAACAGUACUGGUGGUGACAUCCCACGUGCAGUGACGAUGGCAGCUGUGGCGAUCUGACAGCAGGAGCGUCAGCAGUCUGGCGACUGUUAAAUUUUAAUGAAACAAAUAAAAUGAUUUUUUUAAUUAUUUAAAUAAUUACUUUAACUUUUAUUAAUAGAAAAUUAAUUAUCUACAAUAUUAAAUUGAUAAAAUAAAAUUAUAAAUAAUAAUAUUUAUAUGAUAACAUUAAAUAAGUUAAUAAAAGAUUGAAGGGGUAAUUUUGGAUAUUAGGCUUCCAAUAGAAGGGGAAUUUAAAUUCACUAUUCUUUGGAGUGGAAUCUAAAUUUCAUCAUCAUGAUGUAUAUUAAAUUCUAAUGGAAAUUAAAUUCUUAUAAACUAUGGUCAACCAAAGAACAUAAAUAAGAAAGGAAUUUAAAUUAAUUUUUUUUUCCACAUCCUCUCUUCCAACCAAACAUUACCUAUGUAAUAGAAUUCAAUCCAGCAAGGGCUAAAUUCAAAAUAAAUACACACACGUCAUCACUCAUCAGUGGUGAUGUGAGGAAUUCAAUCCAGCAAGGGCUAAAUUCAAACAAUAAUAUAAUUUUAAAAUGUCAAGAAAUAAAAUAAAAAUUUAUUAAUAUAUUCAAUUUAAUACAUUUAUAUUUGUUCUAGAUGUGUUUUCAUAUGUUUAAAAUAUUAAAGAAUAAAUUUAUCAUCAAGCUACAAAAUAUAUCUUUUUUUGUAUGUAAUUAAUUUCUCCUAUUCGAUUUCAAUGAAGAUUUUUCACAAAAUCCAUGGCUGAAAUUGCCCUUUCUACUAUAGUUGUGGCAACUAGUAAAUCAAUAUUAAUAACACCAAUAGAUAAAUUAAUUAAUUCAAUUUAUCAUUUUUAACAUCAAUUAAUUUUCUUACUAGUUUACCAAUCCAUUUGAAUCCUAAAUAUUUAUUGUCAGAAUUGACAUAUAUAAUGUAAACAUUAAUUUGUAUUUCAAGUGUCACAAAAUCCAUUAAAGAAAAAUCAAUUAUAUAAAACUCAAUAGGAUGAGUAGUUUUGUUCUUUUGUGGAGGAGAUUUAAGGUCCUAUGGAUUUCAAAAUAAUAAUUUUUUUUUGGAGUAACUUUUGAAAAAUCAAGUUAUUGUUGAGCUCUAACGUGUCAUCGCCACUGCAUAUCAUAACAUCAUUUAAUUGUUAUAUAAUGAACAUGAUACAUGUUAUGUAUAUUAGAAUUUCGCCUCAACCGCAGCUUCUAAACCAAACUUAUACACAACUGCCUCAUCAUAGUCAAUGUCCUCAGGAUCAUUAAACACAUCACCUGCAACCAACAUAUCACUUCCCCUCAAAAUCACAAACAACCAGCACCAAAAUCCAGCUAAUCCCCGAGCUCCGAUAUCCACUGUUUUACACUUGUACUUGCAUCAAUAUUUGAACUAAAUGUGCAAACCAAUUUAAAUAUGUAAAAAACCAUCUCAAAAAGCAUAUUGUUGAUCACAUUUAAUUUUUUAUCAUUAGUUUUGUUUUUUUCCUCCCCUAUUUAUUAAAGAAAUGAAUAUCUCAAUGACCUAAAUUCAUUUGAAAAUUACAUAUGGAAUCUCAGCUUUUAGGAGAGUUUGCUUUGAGCUAUGAAAUUGUGGUGUAUAUAAUGUGGAAUCCUAAUUUCCUCUAUUUUUAAUUUUUAUAAUAUGUUAGUGAAUAUAUUUACAUUGCAUAGUAUAGAGUCAAUGACAAAAAAAAAUAUUGAUAAAAAGUAACAUAAAUAAGUGAUAAUAUAAAAUCUUGAAUGAAAUUUGUGAUUGCCUCAAUUAUUUGGACAAAUAGCGCCUUUAUUUUAUGAAUUAACCACAAAUGGAAGUGCCUUGAUUAUAAUGCAUUUAUUUCAUUAUUUAUAUGAAACAACUUGCUUUUUCUUUUGUCAAACGAUUUCGAAGACUAAUAAAUAUGAUUUUGUUGAUGAUUUAUAAAGUAUGACUUUUAGAUACUUUCAUAGAUUAUGCUCUAAUGUUAUUAACACUAACUUUUUUUAAUAAACUUUUGUGCCAAUAAUAUGAUUUUAUAUUUUUAUUGUGAUAUGAUUAUAACAAAUUUAAAAAAUAAAAUUAUCAAUUAAUCAAAUCAGAUAUUUCUUUUUAUUAUCUUACAAUCCUCAUAUUCUUUUCUCAAGUAAUUAUGACAAUGAUGGUUAUAAAUGGAUAUCGGGAUAUUGAUCCCCUACCCUUCCAUUCCCUCGCCUUUGCCAUUUGGGAAACAAAAGCAUCAUUAAUUACUUAUAAAUUGACAUAACGAUUUAAUGUCUGUUGGCAAUCUAAAUUAAUCAACAUAUGGGCAAACAAUAAUUUUAUUUAUUAAUAAAGAUCAAGUAUACAUAGACGUAAAUAAGAAAAUCUCUUGUAUAUUUCAAGAGAUUUUGAUAGCUGAAUUUAAACAAACUGAUUGACACAAGUACUAAAAGUACAUGUCCUUUAUUUUAUUUAUUAAACAGAAUAUAAAAGAGUAACACUGUCCUUAACCACUGUAGUCAGGAUUUCUCCCGUAUUGAGGGACAACGAGAAGAUCAAGAUUGUCAUUUAUGGUUUCAUCAUCUGUAAUAGCAAAGUGAGUGUAGAAACCCUCCGACCAUCCAUUCCCAACUGAAAAAUUCAUAUUAAAAAAUAUUUGUAAAUGCAAACAUUAAAUUAAUAAUCAUAAAUGAUAUUCAACUGAAAUUAGCCAAAAACCUGCGAAAGAUGUUUCCAUAUUCUUCAAAUCAGAAAAGAUAUCUGCUUGUGGCCAAUCGUAAUCAAAACUUCAAAAGCAAGUGAGUUGCUCUUGCGAGUUCUUGUUUCUAGUUUUGAUACAACAUACAUGUAUAGGGUAUAUAUAGAAUGAAGUAGCCGAUGGUGGGUGUGAUUGGGCAUUGUCAAGGCUUGCAAUUAAUUAAUCGCACACAAUUAGCAUGGGCCCCACGGCUCACUGAUUAACUAAGAAUAAUUGUUAUAUACGAAUUGAACAUAGUUUUUUUAAAAUAGUUUUUGAUUACAUGUGCAUGUAUAGUUUUGCCCGCAGUCGUUUAUGUAUUGAACAUAGUUUUGACACCUUGUUAUAUGUAUAGUUUGUCCGCAGUCAUUUAUACAUAUAUAUAUUGAACAUACUUUUGACAUUUUAUACUAAUUGAACAUAGUUUUACUUUUUGUAAAAAUUUUCAUUAUCUAAAAUACUUAUUAUUUAUUUUAUAUUUUUAUUUUUUAUAACAUAAUUUUAAAAUUUUGUCUAAUAAAGUAAUUUUAUAAUUUUUAAUAAGAACUCUACUUACAAUUAAUUUUUUUUUAGUAAAACCUCUACUUAUAGAAAUUCUUCUUUAAUUAGCUCUAUUUAAAAAAUUAUACCAAACGAGACCUAAGUACUAAGCUAUUGGUUGUUUUUAAUAUAUAUAUAUGUGUAUAUAUAUUUAUGAAAACUUAGAUUUUUACAAUGGCAACCUUCGUAGAAUUACACAUAUUUUGGUGUGUUUCCCCAAAUUACUUUGCAAAUUAUGUGUCAUAUUUGAUUUUCAGGCAUGAAGGAAAGCGGAGACUAGUGUUUUCUUCUCAACUGUGUGUAUCCUCAAAUUCAUUUUGGAUAGAAUGAGCAAAUUAAUUUAUUUUGACGUCAUAAUUUUUAUUUUUAUUUAUAUGAAAAUAUUCUUAAUAUAAAGACCUUGGUCCUUGGUCCUGUACAAGUUGCAAAAAUUAGCUAACUAAUCUUCAGGAAGUGAGAGAAAAUGAUUACACCGAAAUAACCUGAUCAGCAGAUUUACAAAGAAAAAGCUUAAUUUAUUAAGGCAGAUACAAUCCCACUUCAUGAACGUCUUUGCUUCUAUUUUUUUUUUUUUUUUAAUUUCUGUGGAAGAUCUUGGGAUUUAUAAAUCAAUUUCAGCACGUCACGAAAAGAUUUUGGUCAAGUGAAAAAAAAAAAAAAUUAUGGAGCAGUCAGUUUAUAUUAUCAUUUCUCGUUGUUCAUACCACAUUCUAGGACAGAAAUAUCUUGUCCCCCUUAUACCAAACACCCAAUUUUGACAUUUUCUUCAACAAUCCCCAUUGUUUUGGGUAAAUAAUAAAAACUAUAAAUUUUAAAGAUUUUACACAAUAAGCCCUAAUUAAAAUAUAAUAAUUUUAGAAUUAUAAAAAAAUUAUUUGGCAUUUUCUUCAGCAGUCUCUAUUGUUGUCUGUAUUAUUAAAAACUAUAAAUUUCAAUAAUUUUACAUAAUAAACCCCAAUUAAAAUAUGAAAUUUUAAAAAUUUUUAAAAAUUAUUCUCUCUCAGUCUUCGUCUCAAUCAUUUUGUUUUGCUUUGAUCUUAAUUUAUUCAUUUAUCCAACGUAUAAUUCUUAUAAAAUAUCAAAAAAUAGAGAGUCUUCUAACCACAUAAUUAGAUUAAUUUCUUGAACACAAAAUCUCAUAAAAAUAAUGCUUGCAUUCUCUUAAAAGAAUUCUAUUGUGUUUAUUUUUAUUUUUUUUACUACUAUAAUAAGAAAAUAACUAUAUCUUGCUCUCUAUAAUAAGAUCUAAACAAUUAGGGUUUGUUGAAUGUGGUUAAAGAUGGUGACAUAGGCUUAUUUUUCUAAAAUUUAAUUCCAAUAUAGUGUUUGGCAUGAAUAAGUAAAUUAAGAAUAAUCCAGUUUGUGCCAACCAAAUUAUCAUAUGAUAAUUAAUUUUUUGCCCUAAGGGGACCCUGUGAAUAAAAUUUUUAGACUAAAUUUAUAUCUUAUGCUGACAAUUAUAAGGUUAUUUGAUGUUGAGCAUAUUUAUAGAAAUAAAAGUUAAGUUUCGUUUAUUUAAGUAAAAUAAUUAUUUAUCCUUAUAAGUAACACUAUCUUAAAUGGUAAAACAUUAAAUGGGUAUUUUAUUUUAAAAGAAAUUAUACUAAAAAUGGGAUUUUUUGUAAUUGAUAUUUUAAAGAAAUGGGUGUGUGGAGUAUUUUAGCAAGUUAAAAUAAUCCAUCCAUAUUUUUGUAUAUCUAAAUAUAUUCAUUUAUUAAAUUACCCUUGACCCAUAUAAAAAUUAUAAAAUAUUUUGAUGGACUUAUGUGUCAAAAUCUUGAAAUUAAUAAAUCCCAACAUCUUGCACAGAAAUUGAAAUUAAUAAAUUAAACUUUUCUUUGUAAAUCUGCUGAUUAGGUUAUUUCGGUGUCAUCAUUUUCUUGCACUUCUUGGAUAUUAGUUAGUUAAUUUUUGCAACUUGCAGAGGACCAAGGUCUUUCUAAUUAAGAAUAUUUUCAUAUAAAUAAAAAUAAAAAUUAAGACAUCAAAAUAAAUUAAUUUGUUUAUUCUAUCCAAAAUGAACAUGAGGAUACACAUAGCUGGGAAGAAAACACUAGCCUUUGCUUUCUUUCUUGCUGAAAAUCAAUAUGACACAUCACUUGCGAAGUUAUUUGAGGAUUCACACAAAAAUAUGUGUAAUUCUACGAACGUUGCCAUUGUAAAAGUAUCAGUUUUCAUAUUUUUUUUUAAAAAAAAUUUAAAAUUAAUAACUUAGUACUUAGGUCUUGUUUGGUAUAAUUUUUCAAAUAGAGCUAAUUAAAAAAGAGUUUCUAUAAGUAGAGGUUUUACUUUAAAAAAAAUGUUGUAAGUAGAGUUUUUAUUACAAAUUAUAAAAUUAUUUUAAUAAAUAAAUUUUUAAAAUUAUGCUAUAAAAAAUAAAAAAAUAAAAUAAAUAAUGAGUAUUUUAAAUAAUUAAUCUUUUUACAAAAGUAAAAGUAUGUUCAAAAACUAUGUUCAAUUAGUAUAAAAUGUCAAAAGUAUGUUCAAUAUAUAUGUAUAAAUGACUGAGGACAAACUAUACAUAUAAUAAGGUGUCAAAACUAUGUUCAAUAUAUAAACGACUGCCGGCUAACUAUACAUGCACAUGUAGUCAAAAACUAUGUUCAAUUCGUAUAUAACAAUUAUUCUUAGUUAAUCAGUGAGCUGUGGGACCCAUGCUAAUUGUGUGCGAUUAAUUAAUUGCAAGCCUUGACAAUGCCCAAUCACACCCACCAUCGGCUACGUCAUUCUAUAUAUACCCUAUACAUGUAUGUUAUAUCAAAACUAGAAACAAGAACUCGCUUGCUUUUGAAGUUUUGAUUACGAUUGGUCACAAACAGAUAUCUUUUUCUGAUUUGAAGAAUAUGGAAACAUCUUUCGCAGGUUUUUGGCUAAUUUCAGUUUAAUACCAUUUAUGAUUAUUAUUUUAAUGUUUGCAUUUACAAAUAUUUUUUAAUAUGAAAUUUUCAGGCGGAAAUGGAUGGUCGGAGGGUUUCUUCUCUUUCUUUGCUAUUUCUGAUGAUGAAAUCAUAUGUGACAAUCUUGAUCUUCUCGUUGUUCCUCAAUACGGGAGAAAUCCUGACUAUAGUGGUUAAGUGUAAUGCUACUCUUUUGUAUUAUGUUUAAUAAAUUAAAUAAAGGACAUGUACUUUUAGUAUCCAUGUCAGUUAAUUUGUUUUAAUUCAAUUAUUAAGAUUUAUGGAGAUGUACAAGAGAUUUUCUUAUUUACGUCUACGUAUAUUUUAUCUUUAUUAAUAAAUAAAACUAUUGUCUGCCGUAUGUUGAUUAAUUUAGAUUGCCAAUAGACAUUAAAUCGUUAUAUCAAUUUAUAACUAAUUAAUGAUGCUUUCGUUUCCUAAAUGGCAAAGGUGAGGGAAGGUAAGGGUAGGGGAUCAAUAUCCCGAUUUCCAUUUAUAAUCCAUCAUUGUUAUAAUUACUUGAGAAGAGACUAUGAGAAUUGUAAGAUAAUAAAAAGAAAUAUCUGAUUUGAUUAAUUGAUAAUUUUAUUUUUUAAAUUUGUUAUAAUCAUAUCACAAUAAAAAUAUAAAAUCAUAUUAUUGGUACAAAAGUUUAUAAAAAAAAAGGUUAGUGUUAAUAACAUUAGAGCAUAAUCUAUGAAAGUAUCUAAAAGUCAUACUUUAUAAAUCAUCAACAAAAUCAUAUUUAUUAGUCUUCGAAAUCGUUUGACAAAAGAAAAAGCAAGUUGUUUUAUAUAAAUAAUGAAAUAAAGGCAUUAUAAUCAAGGCACUUCCAUUUGUGGUUUAUUCAUAAAAUAAAGGUGCUAUUUGUCCAAAUAAAUGAGGCAAUCACAAUUCAAAAUUUUAUAUUAUCACAAUUCAAGAUUUAUAUUAUCCAUUAUUUAUAUUACUUUUUAUCGAUAUUGUUAUUAUUGUUUUUGGGUCAUUGACUCUAUACUAUGCAAUGUAAAUAUAUUCCCUAACAUAUAAUAAAAAUUAAAAAUAGGGGAAAUUAGGAUUCCACAUUAUAUGCACAAUAAUUACAUAGCUCAAAGCAAACUCUCCUGAAAACUGAGAUUCCAUAUGUAAUUUUCAAAUGGUUCUAGGUCCAUUGAGAUAUUCAUUUCUUUAACAAUGGUUUGAAUGGGGGAGGAAAAAAAACUAAUGAAAAUAAAUAAAAUGUGAUCAACAGAAUUAAUAUUCUUUUUGUGAAAAACCAUAUUUAAAUUGGUUUGCACAUUUAGUUCAAAUACUAAUGCAACUACAACAAUGGAUAUCGGAGCUGGGGGAUUGGCGGGAUUUUGGUGCUGGUUGUCUGUGAUUCUGAGGGGAAGUGAUAUGUUGGUAGUAGGUGAUGUGUUUAAUGAUCUGGAGGACGUUGACUAUGAUGAGGCAUUCGUGUAUAAGUUUGGUUUAGAAGUUGCGAUUGAGGCGAAAUUCUAAUAAACAUAACAUGUAUCAUGUUUGUUAUAUAACAAAUAAAUGAUGUUGUGACAUGCAGCGGCGAUGCCAUGUUAGAGUUCAACCCAUUCUUGAUUUUUCAAAAGUUACUUUAAAAAAGAUAUUAUUAUUUUGAAAUCCAUAGGGCCUUAACUCUCCUUCACAAAAAUUAAAAACUACUCAUCCUACUGAGUUUUAUCUAAUUGAUUUUUCUUCAAUGGAUUUUGUGGCACUUGAAAUUCAAAUUAAUGUUUACAUUAUAUAUGUGGGUUUUGGCAACAAAUAUUUAGGAUUGAAAGGGAUUGGUAAACUAGUAAGAAAAAUAAUCAAUGCUAAGAAUGAUAAAUUGAAUUAAUUAAUUUAUUUAUUAGUGUUAUUAAUAUUGAUUUACUCGUUGCCGCAACUAUAGUAGAAAGAGCAAUUUCAGCUAUGGAUUUUGUGAAAAAUCUUCAUUGAAAUCGAAUAAGAGAAAUUAAUUACAUACAUUAAAAAAAUAUAUUUUGUAGCUUGAUGAUAAAUUUAUUCUUUAAUAUUUUAAAGAGUAAUUUAUACCCUACCCCCAAAUGAAUUGACAUUUUGCACCGCGCCCCCAAAAGAUUUGACUCGUUGCAUUGCACCCCCAAUUCCGUUAAUUUUUCACUUAUUUCUAACGGCUCCAUCUGAAUUUUGAUUGAAUGAAAAAAAUACCUCUCUAUAUGAAUUCAAAUAAGUUUAAUUACACAAAACCUAGUCCAACAUUUUAUAUUUACGUUAAUACCCUCCAAUAAAAGGUUCAUUAUAGAGCACAUGCCCCUUUUAAAACAAAAACAAAAUUUUAAGCUCAAUUAAUUUUUUUAAAAGGUUUUUUUUUCAAUUGCAAUAAAAAAAUAAUUCUUGUUACAUAUACAUUGUCACAACUAUUAUUUUUCCUUUAAUUUUUUAAAGAUUUUAAUUUCAAUGCAAUAUAGAGAAUUUCUAUUAAAAUUAAUUUAAGGAAUGAACUUCUAAUUUUACCUCUCCACCGUUAAACUUAACUGAGAAAAUAACGGAAUUAGGGGCGUGGUGCAACGAGUCAAAUCUUUUGGGGGCGCAGUGCAAAAUGUCAAUUCAUUCCGGGGUAGGGUAUAAAUUACUCUAUUUUAAACAUAUGAAAACACAUCACAAUAGUUAUAAAUGCAUUAAAUUGAAUAUAUUAAUAAAUUUUUAUUCUAUUUGUUGACAUUUUAAAAUGAUAUUAUUGUUUGAAUUUAGCCGUUGUUGGAUUGAAUUCAUGGCAUCACCACUUAUGACAUGUUUGUAUUUAUUUUGAAAAAACACCAUGUAAGUAAUAGUUAUAUUAAAUUUAAUUACACAUAUCAUAUAUAAAUUGAUUGAUCCUAUUACAUGGAGAAUAAAUAAGAUAAGAAUUGAAUGGUUGAAAAAAGCUGCUAGAUUUUCUGUGGGAAUUUGAGCCUUUGGAUUAUUUGCAUAGAAACAAAUGUAUCAGGCCAAAUGUGAAAUAGGCACUGUCGUUUUUAGGGCUAAUAGCUGCCGUUUUGAUAAUCCAAUUGCCAAUUUUAAUUAUCUGCAGAGCCACAAGAUUUAUCUCCGUUGGGUUAGUUUAAACAAAUAAUAAUAAUAAUAAUAAUAAUGUUGUUGGGUCAAUUAAGAUACAAUACAUUUACUGGUUAAAAAACGGAAAAUAUUGUUUUUAACUUUUCUUAGCUUUUGUUAGAAAUCAAGAUGAAUUCACUCGAGUUAUAAAAACUCGACAUUAUUUGUUUCGAAAUAAAUUAUGAUAUGAUACAAAUAAUUUCUUAAUUAAAAUAUUAAAAUUUUAUUUGAAACCCCACAAAAAAGAAAAGUAGAGUUGUCGCAGCCGCCAUUGGAGCCGUCGCAUAUCAUCACUGGCCACCACUAUACCAUGUCAUUUCAACUAGAGAAUUAUAUGAAAAUUAUUAGAAAUUGACGAUCUAUGGAUUGAAGCAACUUAUUAGACUGAAAUACUUUAUGUUUGUCCGGAUUUGGAAAAGUUAGAAAGCUUUCAAAGUUUUUUAAUCAGAUUUGAAGAAAAUAAAUUCAUUUUUUUUCACCUCUAUGACAAUAUAAUGACGUUGCUCAUUGGCUGGCGAGUCCAACAGUAUUGACAGUGACAUCCCACGCGGUAGCAGCGACAUAAGCGACUGUCAAAUUUAUAUUUCUAUUUUUGUAAAUUAAUUAAAAAAUAAAUUGAUUUUAUUAAAUUGUUUAAAUCAUUACUUUAACUUUUAUUAAUAUAAAAUUAAUUAUCUACAAUAUUAAAUUGAUAAAAUAAAAUUGAAAAUAGUAAUUAUUUGAUGACAUUAAACAAACCAAUAAGAGAUUGAAGGGGUAAUUUUGAAUGUUUUAACUUCCAAUAGAAGAGAAAUUUAAAUUUAUCACUCUUUCAAGUGGAAUCUAAAUUCCACAUUAUGAUGUAUAUUAGAUUCUAAUGAAAAUUAAAUUCUUAUAAAUUAUAGUCCACCAAAUAUUGGAAAUAAGAAAGGAACUAAAAUCACUUUCUUUUCCCCCUUCCUCUCUUUCCAACCGAGCAUCACCUAUGUAAUACAAUCAACCAAUGUAUAUAUGAUAUGUGUAAUUAAAUUUAAUGUAACCACUAUUUGCAUGGUGGUUUUUCAAAACAAAUACACACAUGUCAUUAGUGGCGUUGUCGGGAAUUCAAUCUAGUAGUUGCUAAGUUCAAAAAUAAUAUAAAUUAAAAAUGGUCAACAAAUAAAAUAAAAGUUCAUUAAUAUAUUCAAUUUAAUACAUUUAUAUCUGUCUUAGAUGUGUUUUCAUAUGUUUAAAAUAUUAAAGAAUAAAUUUGUUAUCAAGCUAUAAAAUAUAUCUUUUUCUGUGUAUAUAGUUAGUUCCUCCUAUUUAAUUUUACUGACGAUUUUUCAAAAAAAUCCAUGGCUGAAAUUACCCUUUCUACUGUAGUUGUGGCAACUAGUAAAUCAAUAUUAAUAUCACCAAUAUUAAUGAAUACAAUUUAUCAUUCUUGGUAACAAUUAUUUUUCUUACUAAUUUACCAAUCCCUUUCUAUCCUAAAUAUUUGUUAUCAAAACCCACAUCUAUAAUGAAAACAUCAAUUUAAAUUUUAAGUGCCAUAAUAUCCAUUGAAAAAAAAUCAAUUCGAUGAAACUCAAUAGGAUGAGUAGUUUCUAUUUUUUUGUGCGAGGAGAGCUAGGGUCUUAUAGAUUUUAAAAUAAUAAUAUUUCUUUGGGAGUAACUUUUGAAAAAUCAAGUAGGGGUUGAACUCUAAUAUUAGCAUUACCACUGCAUGUCAUAUCAUCAUUUUCUUAUAACCGAUAUGAUACCUCUAAUAUAUUUUAGAAUUUCACCUCAAUCACAACUUCUAAACCAAACUUCUACACGACUGCCUCAUCAUAAUCAACGUCCUCAGGACCACUAAACACAUCCUUCCAUUCAAAAUAAAAAGCGAACAGCAUCAAGAUCUCGCUGAUCCCCGAGUUCAAGGGUAAAAGUUGAAAACUUUGAUUACGGGGCCGGAGUGAAUAAUGUAUAUAUCGUUUAGAGAUAUUUUUUAUUUCUAUUAUAAUUUAGGAGAUAUCAUGUAUAUUUAAAAAAAAAAUUGCAAUUUUUAUAGGGGCCAUGAUCCACUCUAGUUUCCAUUAAGAUCUGCCCUUGCCCGAGCUCCAAUAUCCAUUGUUGCACUUGCAUUAAUAUUUGAACUAAAUGUGGAAACCAAUUUAAAUGUGUACAAAACCGUCUCAGAAACCACAUUAGUUUUGUUGAUUACAUUUAAUUUUUUAUCGAGUAAAAGCCCAUUUAGUCCUUAUAUUUUAAGAUUAGUGUCCAUUUAGUCCCUAUAUUUUUAAAAAUGUCUUGAAACAUCCCUACCGUUAAAGUAUUGAUACCCCUACCGUUACUUUUUAUUUCUUUUGACUUACUUUUACAAUAUUACCCUUUUAUAAUAAUUUUUUUUGUUUGGACAUUAAUAAAAAGAAAAUAAUUAAAUUAUCAAUUUAACCCUAAAAAAAUUAUAUCAAUUUUUUUGCAAGCACCAUUUUCACAUUUGGUAGUUUGCAUACAAUUUUUGAAAAUUUAAAAGUAAUAUAAUUUUUAUUUUUAGGGUUAAAUUGGUAAUUUAAUUUUUUUUUAUUAAUGUCCAAACAAAUUUUUUUUUAUAAAAAUGUAAUAUUGUAAAAGUAAGACAAAAUAAAUAAAAAGUAAUGGUAGAGAUAUCAAUACUUUAACGAUAUGGAUGUUUUUAGGUAUUUUUAAAAAUAUAAGAACUAAAUAGAUAUUAAUCUUAAAAUACAGGAACUAAAUAAGUUUUUACCAUUUUUUAUCAUUAGUUUUAUUUUUUUUCUCCCUUAUUCAAACCGAAGCAACAAUUUUGAUUUUAUAUUAAAUUCUUGUACAAAGUUCUUGUCAGUUUCUUAUUAUUACGACAAAAAAAAAUUCCAAAUAAAUAAAAAGCUAUCGAUUACAAAACAGGGUCCGGCUAUGGUACCACUGUGGUACCAUACCACAGUUGGAUCCAGCCAUUAGAUCCAGCUAUGGGGACCACUGUAGGCUGGAUCCAAUGGCUGGAUCCAGCUGUGGUAUGGUACCACAGUGGUACCAUAGUUGUGCCCUACAAAACAAUAGAAAACUAGUCGCAUAAAGUAUUUUUGAGAUAAUGAUGCCCAUUGCCCAAUGUCCUAUUCUCGACGUUACAUCUUCGAUUCUAAUUGAAAUUAUUCUAUAUUCGGAUAUUCCAUGACUUGGUCACCCCGCCCUUGCCCCUGCCGGCUACUACUCAUAUACUUACAAAUAAUUAUUAUCCUUAAUCUCUGUAAUUACCGAUGUUAAUCUCUGUCUUACGACAAACAUAAUUUUCAUUUAAUUAAUUAAAUAUUUUUUGAGACUUUAUUAUUUUAUUAAAGUGAGGAUGUCAAUAAAAUAUAAAAAAAAUACAUAUUUUAAUACAUUAGAUACUAUUAUUAUUAUUUUUAUUUGUUAUAUAUGUGUGUGUAAUUAUAUAUAUGCUAACAUAUACGUUUAUACGCCUCACAUAGCUUAUUAGCGUUAUUGCUACAUCAACUGUUUCUAGAAGUAUAAAAGUUUUUAUUUGUUGAAAAUGUCGGCCGACAUAUCGGAAGAACAAACCGGCAAGUCGUCCGGAUCGAAAUUCCCGAACGGCGGUUUCGAUUCGGAGACCGGAAUUUACCAUUCGCUCAUCCAACUCGGUGAAAAUUACAGAAUACCCACCAGGACAGGCCUUGACACGGCCACAUUUGUGCUGUCACGGUUCCCACAUCCGGACCUUGCUGAGUCACGAGUCGCACUAAUCGACUCGGGAACACACGAGCGAGUAACAUACGCUCAACUCCACCGGUCAAUUCGUUCGCUCGCUUCCGGGCUCUACCACGCUCUCGGCGUCAGAAAAGGCGACGUCGUUUUUGUUCUGGCACCAAACUCACUGUUGUAUCCAUCGAUAUGCUUGGCUAUAUUCUCACUCGGAGCAAUACUUUCACCCGCAAAUCCCAUAAACACCGAGUCAGAAAUCGUUAAACAGGUCCGUGACUCGGGCGCCAAACUCAUUAUCUCCGCCUCUGAGGAGCUACAAAAGCUGACAAAAGUCAACGUUCCAAUAAUCGUCACAUCUCGGGAUCAAUCAAACGACAAGUCGGUUUCUGUAGAAGAACUGAUCGAAUGUUGUGACGCAGCUGAUGAGUUGCCGGGCUGUCAGCUGACGCAGGACGACACCGCAGCGAUACUGUACUCGUCAGGCACAACGGGGACGAGUAAAGGUGUGAUAUUAACGCAUGCAAAUUUCAUAUCGAUCAUGCAGCUGUUGAGGUGGACAGUGGACGUAACCCACGCACAAAACGACAUCUUUUUGUGCAUGAUACCUAUGUUUCACAUUUACGGUCUUGCAUUUUUUGCAACGGGGCUGUUCUGUUGUGGGGUCACGAUUGUUGUGAUGCAGAGAUUUGAUUUGCAAGUAAUGAUUGAGGCUAUUAAGACUUACCAGGUGAAUAAUAUCCCAUUGGUGCCCCCAGUGAUAUUAGGGUUGGUGAAAUAUUGCAAGGACAGCAGCUAUUUAACUUCAUUGAGAAGGGUUGGUUCAGGGGCUGCACCGUUGAGCAAAGAGCUGGCUGAUGAGUUCAGGGCGAAGUUUCCUUGGGUGGAGCUCCGACAGGGGUACGGGUUAACGGAGAGCUGCGGUGCAACGACUUUUAUGGUGUCGCCCGAGCAGGCGAGGGCUCGGUCGGGGUCUUGUGGGGCGUUGUCACCUACUUUCUAUGCUAAGGUGGUGGAUACGGAGACCCGACUGGCAUUGCCGCCGUAUCAAAGGGGGGAGCUGUGGCUAAAGAGUCCGACGAUUAUGAGAGGGUAUUUUGGGAACGAGGAGGCGACUGCGGCGGCGUUUGAUGAAGAUGGGUGGUUGAAGACUGGUGAUCUUUGUUAUUUUGAUGGAGAAGGGUUUCUUUACAUUGUUGAUAGGAUAAAAGAGCUUAUUAAACAUAAUGGGUAUCAGGUAAUUGACAUGGAUUCCCUAUCAAAUGAUUCAUUCUACCAAUACAACAAGCACUUUUCACUAAAGCAUUCUCAAAAUCUAAAUGCAGGUUGCUCCAGCGGAACUGGAAGCAGUGCUUCUGAGUCAUCCCAAUAUUCUUGAUGCAGCUGUCAUACCGUGAGUCAUUUGCUCCCUCUUACACUCCAUGAUCAUCUGCAUGUGUCUAAAACACUGAUAAUAUUAUUUUUUCAGGCUUGAAGAUGAAGAAGCAGGGCAAAUUCCAAUGGCUUAUGUGGUGAGAGCAGCUGGUUCUCAACUCACGGAAGACCAAGUCAUGCAAUUUGUGACCAGCCAGGUUGAUCUUCUUUACACACACACACACACACACAUUGCUCUCCUUUUGUUUAAUUUAUUGACAGCCUGCUCCCAAUCUGUAAAUUUCACUUGGAAAUUUCAGGUGGCUCCAUACAAGAAAGUAAGAAGAGUGGCUUUCAUCAGCUCUAUCCCAAAGUCAGCUGCUGGAAAAAUACUCAGGAAGGAGUUGGUCUCACAAAGCCAACAUCGAGUCAUCUCCAAACUCUAGUUUCUUUUCUUCAAACUGUUAGAACUAGCAGGGGUCUAAUAGGGGACAAAACUAGAUCUUAUACGAAAUAAAUUUGCUUGCUGUUCAUCACUGAAGACUCGCAGUUAUAGAUAAGCGAGGCAUCAGUAAUUCCUGCCAAUGCAGUUUGACAGAUCAUACCAAAUGAACUAUGAAAUCAUCAAUAUAGGAGCCUGUAUGUGUCCUUCGUUCACCUUUUCAAAUCCAUCAAAGCUUAAAAAUGAAAAAAAAGUGACUGAUGUUUUAACAAUGACAUGAAUAUAACAAGAUUUGGAAUUAGCAGAGCCCCAAUAUGUACAUAUUCCAGCUUAAUACUGAAUUCCAAUUAAUCUUUUAAAUAAAGGAAUUGAAUGGUACAAAAACAAGAAAUCAUGUGCAAAAAUGAAAAGGAGGGACGAUUAUUGUUACAUAACAAGGAGAAAGGGGAAAGAAAUUAAAAAAAUUAUCAAUGCAUCCAAUAAAGAGAAAGGAUUUGAUCAAAUCAAUCAUAUUUCUAUCCAAAACAACCUUAUCUCCACAAAGAAUCCCGAGUAUAGUUAAAUUUGGUCAAAUUCGGUGAAUACUUUGAUAGCUGAGUCCAAAUGCAUAUUUUGACCAGAUACGCUAAAAAACAUAGAAAGUUGUAUGAACUUUGCUGUAGCUUGAGAGAGUCAUGGCCGCUAACCAUUUGAUGCGUGGAUUUGAGGUUCAACAAGGCUAUUUCUACUGCCCCCCAGCAAUCCAUCGCCAAACACCACCAGAACCUUGGGUCUGGACAGAUGUAGCACGCUCCAUUUCCUGCUCAAAGGCAGACUUCUGUCGCCUAAGUAUUUGCACUUCAUUUUCUAUGGUCUGCAAUGAUUCACGCAUCUUCUGUAGCUCUGCUAUUUGUGCCUGAAAAGUGAAAAUUAACAUAAAUCCAGGACACAUUUGAGUCCAAAUAUUAACUUAGACAUUUAGUGAAUCACUAACAAAACAAAUAAAAGUGAGGACUAAAAAAUGGUGGAUUAAAGAUAUCAGAGAAGAGGUGAGAAAGGGAAACCUCCAGUUUAAAGCAUCUUGAUCUCUCGGCUACCAGCUGACCUUGGACUGAACUGAGUUCCUGCAAGCAAACCGAAGAAACAAGUGAAAUCAUUUUUCUAGGAAUCAUCAAAAAACUUGGCCAAAAUUAGAAGAAAAUGUUUCAUUAAAAGCAAACCUUGGAUAAUUCGCUGUGAGUACUGUUAACUUCAUCAAUCUUUUCUCUAAACCUAGAAUUCUCUGUCCUGACUUCCGCAAGUGACAAUUCCAACACUCUUUUAUCCUCUUUGAUAGCAUCAAUAUCAGUUCUGACAUCUUUCUCAGAAAGAUCGUUUCCAAUUCCAGCAAAUUUUGAACUUAAUGUUUUGGGGAUAUCCAACUUUUCAGAUUUGGCUAAGGCAUAUGCAGCAGUAACAGAAGCUGCAGCCGCCGCCGCUGCUGGUGACUGAAAAAUCUUGGGGCGUGGUAUGUCUCUUGGUUUGAGUCGCAUCACAAAAACCUAGAAAUAAAAGGGCAUGCAUGAAAACCACAGAAAUGAAGAAAAAUGAUAAGCCAGCCGGAGUAAAUCCUAAAAUGAAGAUGAGCUAUCCAUUUAAAUUUAAUGCUAGCAAUAAUAAAUCAUCAUACCUCAUUAUUAUAUUUUCCAUUAUAGCCACCAAAGGCUACCACAUGGUGCUCUCCCUCAAUUAUUGCAGAGCAAACACUGAGCCCCUGUUUUAAUAUAAAAUUUAGACAUCAUGAACAGUGCAGAAUUUGGAAAUUUCAAUAAAAAAUGUCAAAAUCCACUACCAAAAACUUCACAUAUAACAAAUUUUUUUGUAGCAUAAGUCAUACAAUCGGAGAGAUAUGCUGCAGAAAAAAUUAAAACCAAAAUAUGCAGGAUUCCUAAGAAUAGAUAAUCGAAUAAAUAAGAUUCCUAAGAAUAGAUAAUAGAACAAAUAAGUUGCUGCAUCCAAUUAUUCAAUACAUUGGUCAAAACACACAAAGAUAUAUUCAAAUUUUACGUGAUGGUUUCUAAAGACUGACAGUGACAAGGUCUGUAGGAAACCAUGCCCAAUGUUUAAAGAUGGUCGAGACAAAUCAGAACUAUGAUUGAAUUCUACAUUCCACAGAAGAUCAAACGGUCACACUUUCCCCUUUCUAACGAGAACGAUUAAGCCAACUACUCGGAAAGCAACAGAAACUGAAUCCUGCUCAAAAGAAGACAAAUGUUUGAAAUAUCAAAAUUGCAAGAUUAUGGACACAAUGAACCCAAUUUCUUAAGGUGAAAAAGCCGGAUGCAACAAUUUCAACGUCAUGGGAAUGAAAACUAGUUCAUCUCCUCUGUUGGAGGGCAGGAACCAAAACCAAAGUUAUGUAAACAAGUUUCUGCAUUCAGAGUCUGACCCUAAGAUAGAGUUGUGAAAUAUCUAAGCCCAUGAUGGUUUACUGAUCCAAAAAUACUUAAGAGUACCAUAUUAACAGCUCGCACCCAAUACGCCCUUACACUGUUUAAGGUUAUUUGUAUUAACCAAGGAAAAGAAACAAGCAAGAGAAAGAGAGAGCUUAAAUGCAGCUAAAAAGGAAAUAAGAAUUUGGGAAGGGCAUAGACUGACCUCACUAGCAAGUGGAUUCCUUCCCUUUACACUUGUCAAGAUAGACCAUGCCAGCUUAGUCAUAUUUAGCACAAUGGUUUCUUGGCAUCCUGCAAGCAAAGAUUAAGCCAUCUGUACGUGAAAAGGUACCAUCAUGAAAUGUCAAGACAAUAGUAGAUGAACAAAAUAUCUACAUACCAUUAUUAUUAUCGCCACCACCAACUAUGUACCAGUUCCCAUCAAUGGUUAUACCAGCAUGCCCUGCUCUACCAGUCACUAAAUCUCCCUUUAUUUCUGGUUGAGACCAUUCGUUCUGCACAUACAAAUUUAAAAAUUCUUGCUUAAACAUAAUCGAGAUGAAAUUCUUAUGCACUAGGCCUCAACAUAAUCAAAAAGCAUAACAAAAAGAGAAAGAAAGCAAUGAUAAAAUACUUACAGUCUGCAAGUCCAGUACAUGAAGAUCAUUGAAGAAGAUUGAAUGAGAACAACCCCCAAAUACUAUAAGGUAUCGAUUUGCAUGGAGUGCAGCAGAGUGAUCAUAUCUUGGAGCUGGGGGCGUCUGCCUAUCAAAACACAAAAAAUUGAUGCAGAAUGCAUCUGAAAGAAUUCAUGAGACCAUCUAUGAAAGAAAAAAAGAUACUUACGUAACCUCAACUGCAUCCCAAGUCAUAGUCUCCAGAUCAAGAAAAUGGACAUCAUUCAGCAAUUUCCUGCUCCUGUCUUCUCCACCAAAAAUGAUCAACCUAGAACCAACCAAAGUAACAGAAUGCCCGCCACGGGCUACCUGCAAUAGACUCCACAUGGAUACAAUCAAAAUUUUCUUCAAUGACAACUUAUCCUACUUCCUCGUCAAUAAUACAUGGCAAACAAAAAGCUUUUAAGAAAGAAAAUAAGAGAGGGGGGGGGGGGAAUUUAGGCAUCAAUAACAGCUACUUACCGGAACUUUUCCCGAGGUCUCCAUGACACCACAGAGGUUUGUUUCAAGAUCAAUGAAACGCACUGCAAAAAGUUGGUUGACACAGAAUGAGUUUGAUUAUGGACCAUAUACAGAACAACAUCUAAAGGUUCAAAGGAAACCAGAUGCUCGUUUGACCAGAACCAAGAUGGCUCUAAAAGAAACAAACCUAUCAUGCUAUCAGAAGAUUUCUUGUAAUGCCCACCAAGGAUUAAGAGUUUGGUUCCCCACUUGACCUGCCAAAAAUAAUACAUGUAACUUAUUAUGGAAAGCUUCAAUGAAUUGCUCAAUGAACACAUGGAAAUCAGACAAAAGAAUAAAAGUGCCCUUGGGAGUGCGCAUACAUGUAUUUUGAGCACAUAACUACAUACCAUACAGUGAUCUGACAUGGGUGGAAGAACUUCGAGUAGUCCACUGUCUUCAGUCUUAUCAGCAUCCAGUUCCGUUUCGAGUCUUAGAUUGGACCAUGCCAAACUUCUAAGAUCAAAGACCUGCAACGAUAGCAAAUUGCACAUGACUCAAAACAAAGAAUUUCAGCAUGAAUAUAUAAAUGGGCAUGCUGAAUACCUGAACAUCAGACAAGAACCGACCAUUACGACUCCCUCCAACAAUGUAUAGUUUCUGAUCGAACACCGCAGCAGCAUGCUAAAGUAAGAACACAAAUGGCAUUUAAGCAUCAGAAUCAUAAAUAUUGAGUGAAAAUUAAACAAUAUGGCCUCAUUGAUGAUUAAAAAAAUAUAACUAAUGAAUGGAAUGCAUUCAAAGAGAGAAAAGAAAGAAUGCACCAAAACAAUUACUAAUUAUGGUUUCCUUUGAGGAAGUUGAAUUGAUUUGCAACGUAUAAAAAUCACCUUGUAUCGGGGAGAUGGUCGUGCACCAGAAACAGGGAGUGUCACCCAUAGGUCAUAAGGUAAUUCCAAAUGCCAACUACCGCUGUCCAUAUCUUUCUUAAUCUCCUCUGUUUGUGUGCCAACUGCUUGCAAGUCACUCAGUUCCUUUAUCUUAGAAAGUCAAACAAUAAAUUUAAUAGUAUUCAUUGAAGCCAAUCUACAUCCUUCUUUUCCCUGUUUUUACUUAUAUUUUCCCUACUGAUUUGGAGAGGCAUGUUAGAAGUGGUUGUGUUCUAGCAAUAGCCAUUAUACUUGUAAACUGAUUGGUCCACUUUUAAAAGUAGGUCCCACAACAACUUCACCGUAUAAUUAUGCAUCCGGAUUUACAGAUCAAGCUUAUGCAUGCAUUCAUUUAAACAAGUAUCCACGACAGGAAAAAUAUGAAAGGGAGCAAAUACAAUGAUUAGAAUCCCGGCAUUGUUGUCAAAGAGAUUGUCAUAUAGGUAUCAUCAGACAUCGAACAAUUGAGUGGGUUGUCAAGCUCAUCGCAUUGAAAUCACACUACUUGUCUAAUGGAAUUUAACCAUGUAAAAUAAAACUGGUCACAUACUUAAGCUAAAACGUUCAUAUUUGAUUUAAAUGAUCCUUCAAUCUGAUAUUUUCACAGUCAAUAGCUCCAACUAAAUUAACAAUAUUAUACUAACUAAAUAAAAUUAUCAAAAGUGUGCAAUUAAAUCCAGUCAUGAUUCAAACACAGAGAAAAAUUAAAAUUACAAUUGCAAUUCAAAUUUUCCUUUAUGAUAGUGCAUUUUAUAAAUCAAAAUUUUCAGAGUGUUCAUUCAAUCCUUUCUAGCUCACAUAAAAUGAGCCUUUAAAAAAAUUACCACUCAAUAGUGCACAGAGAGAUCCAAAUUCUACAUUUCUUAAAAAAUUAUAAUUAAAAAUUGAAUUUUCUUCAAUUAAACAAAAUAAUGAAGAAAGCGAAGUGGUGUUACCUAAAAUUGAGAUUGGAUCUGACGGUGCUGAUUCUCCGGUGAGACGAAGAAUCGUAACACCAGCCUUUUGCCUUUGAGAUCUCAGGCGAUCCUCUUCUUACGGACAAAUUCGUAAAAGCUGAAACUCGUCGUUUCUUUUGCUGACUCCACUUACUUACACAUCUCUUAGUGCUAGCUGUCAGUUUUUUUUUUCUUUAUUUAUUUCUCCAUUUUCUGAUGUCUGCGAUUUGAAUUUGCAAAUAAACAGAUUAGUAAUAAUUGAAAAAAAAAAGACCAUUUUUUUUCUUUUUCUUUUAAAGAAACAUGUAGAAUUGACACGUGGGACACAAAAAAUGGUGUGAAUAUUUUUGACGUUAUUUUUAAUGAUAAUUAUGGAUUGAGUAAAUAAUCUGUAUUUUAUUUUUUAUUCUCUUAAAUUAUGCUUGUUUGCAGUAAAACUUUUUAUUAACUCAAAUAAAACGUUCAUGGUUGAUAAUUUGACAUGUGCGGUACUCAAGGUAGCCUCUUGUAUUGAAACAAAUUAUUUGAAGCAUGAAUAGAGAAUUUGAGAUUUUCACGAUUAAUUUAAUUAUCGGAUGUUAUGCUUCUAAAAAAUGAAAAAGAAAAUUAGAUUUUGCCGAUCACAUGGUAACAUUAGAAUUGAUUAUACUUUAUUUUUUUGAAAGAAAAAAUCAUUAUGUUCCCUCAAAUUAUAAUAAUUCAGGUCCAUAACAUAAGUCCGAUGACGAGAGACAAAAUAUAAUAAUAAUACAGCUGACUAAAGAGUGAACCAAGAAAAUAUGUAUGGAUUGAGUUCUAGAUCUUGAGAUACCUUGGUUUCAUUUGCACAAAAUAAGAAAAUACUAGAACUUAGUUUACUUGCAUGGUUUUGUAAAUAUGAAGUAUGUCUCCCUAAAGUACCAUGAUCAUGUUAAAGUUAGCAAUGUUGUUCAAGUGCAAUUUGCAAAUGAGAAUCGAAAAAAGAAAAUAAAUAGAUAAAUUAAAGUGUAAAAAUUCGUUAAGUUCCUAUAUUUAGAGGUUAGUACCUAUUUAAUUUCUAUAUUUUUAAAAAUACGCUAAAACAUCAUUGCCGUUAAGUAAUUGACACCCUGUUGUUACUUUUUGUUCAUUUUAACUUACUUUUAUAAUAUUACUUUGUACAAUAACAUUUCUUCUUUAUUGGACAUUAAUAAAAAGAAAAAAAUUAAAUUAUCAAUUUAACCCCAAAAAGUAAAAUAAAAACAAUUAUAUUAAUUUUUUUAACACUCCACGAGAAGUUAAUAGAUUAAUUUUUUAUUAAUGUCCAAAAAAUUAGUAAUUAAUUUUUUUUUACAAAAUUUUAUUUUUUUGGACAUAGCUUCUACAAAAAUUAAUAUAUAUUGUCUUUGUUUUUUAUUUUAUUUUUGGGGUUAAAUUGAUAAUUUUAUUUUUAUUAAUAUGAAAAAAAGAAACAAUAUUAUAAAAGGGUCAUAUUGUAAAAACAAACUAAAAAGAACACAAAGUGAUGGUAGGGGUGCUAAUAAUUUGAUAACAGAGAUGUUUUGAAAUAUUUUAAAAAAUAUAAAAACUAAACAGAUACUAAUUUUAAAAUAUAAAAAUUAAACUAACUUUUACCCUAAAUUAAAGGGAGAGAUUAUUUUAAAGACAAGCAGUAUGACCUGGCCGAGAUUUGGUACCUUCUAAAAGCUGUUGAAUAUGCAAUUUGGAUUUCUAUAUGUAUAAGCUGUGACUGAAUGAUUGGGCAAGUGAUGCAGCUCUUUAAAGUUAUUGUGUCAUUGACUCAUUGUGUUAAUGAUUGUUUAUGAAAAGUGCACUUUACAUGGGUGCCACUUGCGGUUAAGCCAAACAUUUCACUUGAAGAUUUGACGAUAUCCAAUUCCCUUAAUUAACGUGGUGUUUAUUUUUUUGUCUGAAAUUUAAAUAGAUUUGAAUGUCUAAAUCUAAAUAAUAUGUUUAUUUUUUCGUCUGAAUCUUGAAAAAUAAAUAUUAAGUUGUUAUUUUUUUUAACUGAAAAAGUUAAAAAUAUGUACUUUUAUAUUUGUAUCCUUAUUAAAUUUGAAUGUCAAAUAAAUAAUAUAUUAAAUACCAUAAUAUUUUAACAUUUAUAAGUAAAAAUAUAUUCAAGUGAAUACAUAAUUAUUUUAGAAUUUUAAUAUAUAAAAUACCAUAAAUUUCAAAUUUUAUCGUAUAUAAUAUAAGAAAGAAAAAACAAGGAUAUUUUUAUGUAGGGUAAGUGUCUAUGGGUGAGUUUUGGGAUAGACAUGAAAAAUAAAUUAUAAAACAUGGAUAUUUUUUACAUUAGUAAGUAAUUGACUUAAUUCAAAUUUCUCAAUUAAGUAAAAAGCAAAAAAAAUUGGCUUAUUUUAUUAAGUCAAAAUUAUCUAAAAAGUCUCAUUAAGUUAUAAAAAUAAACACAUCUAAUUAACUUAAUUAAUUAAGUUAAGUCACUUUAAGUUAUUAAGUUAAAAAACAAACACCACCUAAGAUUAUGAUUAAGCGAUAACAAGGUGUUAGGGAGCCGAGAAGCUUAAUGAGAAUUCAAAUAAAAUUCCUUUUUCAUAAAAACUAACUAACAAACAAGUCAAGUAAUGCGUAACUAAUCAAGGCCUAACCACCUAUCGUGGAUUUAUUCCAUUUGACCCUUUGAUAAUAUCUAUACAUACGGGAUUCCAUCUGUCAUGGGUUAAUUUUUUUUUUAAAAAUAAUAUAUGGGUAAGAUUUAAUUUAUUUAUUUAUUAAUCACCCGUCACCACUUGAAUUUUUGUUUAGUACAAGAGUAGAUCAUGAGAAAAUGAUGAUCCACACAUCUUAAGUCUUGUACUGAAAGAACAUCAGAUCUCAAGCAUUCGCUCAUGGAUGCAUUGGCUAAAAGAUCCUUAACGUAUUAAGGUGGCGUUUGUUUUUUUGUCUGAAAUCUGAAUAGACCUGAAUUAGUCUGAAUUCUGAAUAGAUCUAAAUGUCUGAAUCUGAAUAAUAUGUUUGUUUUUCCGUCUGAAUCUCUGAAAAUAAGUUAUAAUUUAUUUGUUUUUUUCAACUUAAAAAACUGAAAAUAUAUAGUUUUACAUUUGUAUCCUUAUUAAAUUUAAAUGUCAAAUAAAUAAUAUAUUAAAUACCACAAUAUUUUAACAUUUAUAAGUAAAAUUAUAUUUAAGUGAAUACAUAAUGAUUUUGGAAUUUUAAUAGAUAAAAUACUAUAUAUUUGAAAUUUUAUCGUAUAUAAUAUAAGAAAGAAAAAACUAAUAAGAUGCUUGAAACAGUUGAUUUGCCAUUUCAUCUCGAAGUUAUCGCAUGUAAUUUUGAUCUUCAAUACUUGAGGAGUUGAUAGUAUUAGCUGUGUGGUUUUGAUUGCCAUGACCACUUUCUAGCUCAACUUCAUCAUUUUCAUAUUGAGCAAAUAAUGCAUCAUCCACUGAUAUUUUUCGAAGAAAAUUAUGAAUCGCCACGCAUGCCACCACUAUGUUUCUCUGUGUAUCAAAUGAGUAUGGUGCCAUCCUUUUUAGUAUUGGAAAACGGGCCUUUAGCACACCAAAAGCACGCUCAAUAACAUUUCUCAAUUUAGCAUGGGCAUGAUUGAAUAUUUCCUCCCUUCCUCUAGCUCGACCGCCACUACGAAAGUCACCUAACCAAUAACGCACAUGAUGGUAUGGUGCCAUGAAACCUCUUGUAUGUGAAUAUGCUGCAUCAACUAAAUAGUAUUUAUCUAGAAAAAAACAUUCAACAUGAGUGACUAAUAAAAUAUAAUAUUAUAAAUUAUAAUGAAUAAAUUGGUAAAAUAAUGAAUAAUGACAUACCAGGCGGUGGAAUAGGAAAAUUAUUUCUUGAAUUACAAAUGGUUUCAGUUAAGACCCUUGAAUCAUGUGCAAUUCCUUCCCAUCCAACAACAACAUAUCUAAAUAUCAUGUCAAAAUCACAAAGGGCCAUUACAUUUUGAAAGCAUUCUCCCUUGCCGCGACCUCUAUAUGGAACUUGUUUAUCAAUUGGAAUACAUGCAUGAAUAAGAGUUCCAUCAAUUGCACCAAAUGAAUCCUACAUAUUAAUAAUCAAAUUAUUUCAAUAAUCAAAAUAAAAAGCUUUAUUCUUCAACCUAUUAGUAUACAGAAAGUUUUAUACCUUAAAAAUUUGCCUUAAUCGAGUAUUACGGAUGCCUCUUGAAUUAUCUGUAAAUGACGAAGGAGUGAUCAUUUCUUUCGAAAACUUCAUCAUUGCCGACAGUGCUUCAUGAAAAUACCUAUGCACUGUAUGACAUGAGUGCUGGAAUCUAAUUUUAAUGAACCGAUUUCGAAGAUUAUGGCUAAUUGUAAAUAAGAACAUAGCCAUUUUCUCUUCAACAGUUAAAUGCUUACUAUCAGAAAGCCAUCCUUUUUCUUUGAACAAUUGACAUAGAGAUAUGAACCCAUUCUUAUCCAUCCGCAUAAGAUCAUAGCAGACUAUUGGUGAUCCAUUUAAAAGUUCUUGAAUGUAAAGAGAACCUGUCAGAGAUGAUGUAGAUACUCGUUGCCUUUUGGUCGACCCUUUCAAUAAUUUUUUUACCAACAUAAUCAAUUGUUUCCGUAAUAUUCGUUUAACCCCAAUCUUUAUGUCAACUUCUUCGUCAGCUAUAGCCAUAUCUAUUAUACAAAAAAAAUAAACAAAUAUAUAUUAUAUAUGUAGCAUUUAAAGAAGAAUAUUUAAUAUUAAUUGAAUGUUGACAUACCUACUAUUAAAGUCCAAAGUAUUGCUUAGGCUGCAAUUUAUUUGUGAUAGGAUAUAACAACCUGACCAUAUAAACAAAUUUAUAAGAAAUUACAAAGACAAAAAUAAAGUAAAAAAAAAACAUAUAUAAGCAACGUAAACCACACUCUGAGCAGCAAGAUACUCAUUAAAUAUUCAAAUAACCAAAACACACAAUUCACUACACAAACCAAAAGUUCAACAAAUGACCUUAAUCAAAACAUUGAUUCAUUGCAUAAACAAAAAAGGUAUAUAAUCCAAAAAUUCCAUAAUGACACCAAAUAAAACAUUGACAAAUGAACUAGGAAUAAGAUAUUAAGGCCCUUUAGGUAAACUAUAAAUCCAUCCAAUUCGUUCUUCAUCACACUCCAUGCCCAUCCAUAGUUCUCGAUACUCUCUCUUAUUGCAGAGUGCAUUAGUAGCCACAUAAUACAUGGGAUUGUCAUAAGUUAGUAGCUUUCUCAAAAUUGGCAUGCACUGAGUAAUUGAAGGUCCUUUGUCAUCGAUCUUCUCUAAUACAGCCACUAAUUUGUUGAUAUCUUCCCGAGUUUCAUCCGAUUUGCUUUUCUUUUGUUUCUUUUUACACCUUUGCAUGUCAUCGGGAAGUGGUUCAUCCACAUUGGUGUAUGAAUCUGGUGUUUUUACCUCACAAUCAUUAUCUUCUACGUUAAUUGGAGUUUCAGAUAGCAUCGAUGAUAGAUUUCCCAUUUCUGGUAUCCCUUCCAUUCCAGAACUCCAGUUAUAAGCUCCUGUUGCUACUGCACCUGAGAACAAUGCCUCCAACUCUUCAGCAUUUGCUAAAGGUUUAUUGCGAAAUUGUUUAGCUUCUGGAUAUUUUUGUUCAAUCAAAACAUAAUAAUUGAUUAUACUUAUAUUGUAAAAAUAUUAAAUAAUUCACUUAAAUAAAAGAAAAAAAAUGUUACCUUCAAGUAUUCUUCCCAUCUUUCAGGUGGCCAAUCAAAAGUACGAGUUGUAGAAUUGUAACCAUGUCCUGUUGUCAUUGUUAAUUUCAGCCAUGUGAGGUAUUGCCUUUUCAUAUAAUCCCAUCCAUUCUUAAGUUGUUUCGGGGUAAUAGAUUUUUCUGUCAAUGUUUUCAGUUCCUGAGAAAUCCUGUUCCAAGCAGUAGGCUUCAAGGUUGCCCCAGAUCUAUUUCCAUUGUUUGCUUCACGCAUGCAGAGAUCAAUAAAAUAUUUCCUAUAAGUUGGAUCAGUCCAAUUUGCUCUCUCCCCUUGUGACGACAUCUAUGAGAAAGUUCCGCAAAAAACAAUCAAAUGGAACCAAUUGUGGAUUAUUAAUUUCAGCAAUUGCCAUUAUUAAUUUCAUUCAAAGAGACUGGAAAAUUCGUAAGUCGUAACCACCCAAGAUAGCUCUAUUAAAACUACUUCAACCAAUUACAUAGAAAAAAAAAAUGCAAUGUCAUAUCUGCAUUCAGUCAAUUGAUCAUACACAACAUCAUCUCAAUUAUAAAAAAGAAAAAUGAAAUCAAACAGAUGAGCGAAAAUUCUCCCAAAUAAAUCACUGUCAGAUUAACAAAAUAUAUUCAUAUAAAUAAAACAAUACCCAAAACGCAUAACGAAGUGUGUCAGAUCCAAAAAGAGUAGCAAAGCUAUUGAUUAUUAUAAAAGUGAAUGCUAGAAAACGUAAUUGAAAAGUCAAAUAUAAUAAAAGUGAAUGCUAGAAAAGGUAAUUGAAAAGUUAAAAAAAAAAAGCCCAAGUCAAGUGCUUGCCUGGUGAGCAAUUAAUGGGAGAUUCAAGAGAAAUUAAUGGGAGAUUUAAGAACUGGACGAGAGAAGCAGAGUGAGGAGGGAUUGCAUGACAGCUAAAAAAAUAAUGAUAAGAUUAUUAUGUGAGGUAAAUAUCUAUGGGUGAGUUUUGGGAUAGACGUGAAAAAUGAAUUAUAAAGUAGGGAUAUUUUUGACAUUAGAAAGUAACUGAUUAAUUCAGAUUUUUUCAUUCAGUAAAAAGCUAAAAAAAUUGGCUUAUUUUAUUAAGUCAAAAUUAUCUAAAAAAUCCCAUUAAAUUAUAAAAAAACACUUCUAAUUAAGUUAAUUAAUUAAGUUAAGUCACUUUAAGUUAUUAAGUUAAAAAACAAACGCCACCUAAGUAUAAGGCAAAUGCAUUUCAUCAUUUGUAUAGCAAACAUCUAUACGAAGCAAAUAGGCAAGCAACCUUGAUAAACUUUAGCCUAAAUUACAGCAAGCAAAUCACGUGCAGCAAUUGCAGAAUCAAGAGCAAUGGUCACAGGGAUCAAAUAAAUUACAGCAAGCAAAUCAGUAAUUGCGGAACCAAGAGCAACGGUCGCAAGGAACAAAUGGAUACAAUCACACUAUGGAAAGCUUUUGAAAAUAUAAUUGCCAACCUUCCAUAAAGCUUUCAUAGUCACGUGUUUUACCCAAUCUUUGUAAAACGCAUACCAAAAAAUAUUGAAAAUAUAGUAUUAAAAGACAUAAUCAUAGGGAUUCUUUUAUAAUUCAUAUCAACCAAGACUUGGUAUCAUGUUUGUAUUAAUAAUUUUAUCAAUCUGGGAACUGCAAUUCAUUUUUUUUUUUUAAACCCUAGAUCUUCUAAGGCAAAUAUUGAGCAUGGCUUGUUAAUUAUUGAAUGCUAAGAAGAGCUGAACCAGGAUCAGUGAUCACGAUAUCAUCCACAUAGGUUAAAACAAGGAUGACACUGUCAGUAUCAUGCCUAAUAAAUUAAGAAAUGUCUACAUUUGAAUUAAUGAAGUUCCAUUCUGUUAAACAAUCAGCUUGUCACACCGAGCUUAAUUAGGUUCUUGUUUAAGCCCAUAAACAAUUUUAUUGAGCUUGUUUUAUAGACACAAAUUGUCUGUGCAACAGGAAAGUAAACAAAAUAGGAAAAAAAUGAUAAAUGAAUUAAUUUGAGGAAACUUAUUGUUUCAUCAUAAACAUGUUUUUAAUUUUUCAAAGGAUCAAAUACUUCUUCCCAAUACAACUUACAGUUGCCAAUUAAUAUUCCAACCUACAAAUAAUAAUAUUCUAACCUACAAUUAUUGACACUAAUACUGAUUUAAAUACUAACUUUCCAGUUUGUCUGAUACAAUUAUCGUAUCAGCUUGUAUUUAUAUUUAAACAGGGUUUUUAGAAUCUUUAAACUAAGACCUAAAAAUGCAUUAUUUAACUUUCCAGUUUCCUUUGCGUCAUUGCAUCCAACUGAGAAUAAUAUCUCAAAGUUUUUCUCUCCCUAUCUUAAUGAUUCGUGUGUUAAAUGGUCCACAAACCCUAGAGUAAAAAGGUGGAUGCAUUCUUUCAUGUGGAUUGCUGACUUAAAAAGAAAUUGUAAGUGAUAUAUAGCUGAUAAACACUAAGGUCAAAUCAAACAUUCAUAUAUACCUUAAACAAUAUUUCGUGGAGUAAAAAUUAUCCACAAUACAGAUAUACUUUAUUUUAGUCUUUAGGGCAUCGAUUGAUCUAUCCAUUAUCUCAACUAAAAGGCCAUGAUACAAUAUAUAACAAAUGUGAAAUUAAUUAAUAUAUCUAACCAAUAGAAUUUUAUUAAGAUGGGCAAAAAGAAUUUAGUUGGUAACAAAACAAUCAAUUAAUUGAUUUAAAGGAUCUAUUUCACAUGUGCACGUAGUGCGGUCCACUAGUCCUUGGUCUUCCAUCAAUGGCAUCCACAGCAACUUUAAGAACAUGUAAAAAUCAAAUUAGUCAAAUAAAAUAUAAUGCAAUUAAUAUCUAGAUAAGAAACAACAUACUUUUUUUUUAAUUUAUAAAUAUUAUAUUUUUUAGAAAACAAAAAAUGGUUAAAAUUUAAAUCAUUUUUUAACCUUGUACCUGUCUGAAAUUCAAAUUUAGGUAUUUAACUCAAGAAAAUUAUUUGAUAACUCUUUAUUCAAUUUUUAGGGAAAAAAAUGCAUGAUUAGACCAAAUAAAGAUGGGGUUCCGUGUGGUUUUCCCCUUAUACUUUCUUCAUGAUUACCGAAUAUCUUCUUUUAAUAUAUUCUUGAUGAGUUUAUCGAUCAAACUCAAUUACAUGGGUGGAGAGAAGAUGAUGAAGGAUGGUUGUGCAGGAUGACUAAGAUAAUUUUUCAAAGUGAUAAUUUAAGUUAUAUGUGUCCGUUUUGGACAUAUAAUAUAAUGUUUCGAAAUGUGCAAUGAGAUGUAUUUGACUCAAUAUCACUACGCCAUAUUAGUCCGAUGCUUCAAUUUAAAAUUUUGUUUCUUUCAUGGUCACUUUACAAGUUUUAGUUAUUUUUUUAUUAUUCCUAUUGAUUUUAAAAUUUUUACAUUUGUUUGGACAUCAGAGUUGAGUGUCAUUUGUUUGUUUUCCUAUUUUAGUUAGUAGAAUUUUAUUAUGUAAUAAUAAUUUAGGUUUGCCUAUUUUGAUAAAUUUGCGUUAUUUAAGGUUAGUACAAAAUAGCCUUAAAACCCUAAUUUUAUUAGUAAACACUAAUUUGAUUCAAUAAUAUUUUAGUUAUUCAAAAAAAUUCCUAUUUUUAUCAAUCUUUACGUUUUCGCAUUGGAAGAUUAUGUUACCAUCAUGCUGCUUAAAAAUAUAAAGAUAAAUUUAUUACCUAUCUAGUUCAAAAACUUGUCCAAAAUAAUAUAUGAUCAUUCAUUGAUCUCAACCACAUUGCUUUAGACAGGUUUAGGGCCAAUUUGGAAUUCCUGAUGAAAUUAGCUACUUCCGUUGUGUAGAUGAAAUAGGCUGCUAAUUGAAAAAAUAACUUAGUGUUUGAUAAAUUGUAUUGUUACAGUUUAUAUGAGUUAGAAAAACAGAGUAUAUACGUUUAGAAAAUAUUAUUACAAAACUUAUAUUUUGUUAUAUAAUAAUAAAAAUAGACAUACAUUUAAAUUGUGUUUUAUUUUAACAAAAGACAAUUAUAUACGUUUAGAAAAUAUUAUUACAAAACUUCUAUUUUGUUAUAUAAUAAUAAAAAUAGACAUACAUUUAAAUUGUGUUUUAUUUAUAUGUUAGAGUUUAUGUAAAAAUAAUGCAUAAUUGUCUUUUGUUAAAAUUAAGGUUAUAUUAGAAGCUUUAAAAAGGUGUAGUGGAUUAUUUAAUAAGUUACUAAUUAAAAACAACCCCUACUUACUUUUUAAAACUGUUGUCAAAAUGAAGAAGUUUAUGAAGUAAGUUACUUUUAAAAAAUUAUCAAACACCAGUUUUGUCAAAACUUAUGAAAUAAGCGGCUUAUUGUAUUUCAACCUUAAUCCAAACAAGGCCUUAGUUUCUUAAUUUCAUCUUAAUCAUUCUAUAAUUAAGUCAAUGUUGAGCAUGUUUUCAUCAUAAAUCAAAUUGGAGGAUAACAUACGAAACAAUUAAUAUACUUUUAAUUAGUAUCGAUAAUCAUGAUCAGUAUAUUUGAUCGUUAUCAACAAUGAAAUUAAUUAAGAACGAAAUUACUUUAUUUAGACAAGGAAAGUGCUUACAAGCUGGUGGUUCAAUUUCACAACAAAGUCAGCAAUUGAUGACAAAAUGAGAAGCCUAUCAUGUUCUUGAACAAGAAAUGUCCAUAAUGACGAUACCGCGCCAUGAUUGAAAGCAUGCUAUGCAAUAUAUGCAAAAUGUCAAAGGCAAAGUUAGAGACAGAAUGUAGCCAGACAUAGGUAUGCCAGUUGUCAACCUAAGCUUACAUUUGAAGUAAAGGUAUCAAUAUCCCACUAAAAUUCUUCAGGAUUUUGACAGAGAAAUUUGGUAGGUGUGUUAGCUAGUGGAAGUCUUCGUGGCCCUAGGAUUUUUAGGGUUUCCACAAACAAAUUAACUAAAAUAAUUUACAACUUCACUUAAACAUGCUAAUAAAUUGUGAUCGUGCUAUAAGAAAGAUGAUGAUAACACUUGCACAUUAAACAUUAUUCAAUUCCUCUAGUGUGUGUUUGUAUUUAACUUGAACUCGAUCACACACACACACAUAUUCAUAUCCAUUUACAUUUAAUUAAUUAAUUAAUUAUUCUAAUAAUUGACAAUGUAAUGAUCACUAAACAUGAAUCCUAUUUGAUGUAAUAGCAAACUGUGAAAAGGAUGGGAGAAAAGAGAUGCUUCUUAUUCUUGAGAAGACAAAUGUGACAUAUGAUCACCACAAGAAUGAUAUUGGGAUGCACUCAAAGUAGAGUUCAAGUAUGAACAGAAAUGACAAAGUGAGGAAGCUAACUAGCUAAGCUAAUUAUUAUGCAUGCAUCGCAUUGGUCCCCUUUCCAUAUAAUAUAUAAAUUAUAUGAUUAAUUACACUUCAAGUCAAAAGUGGAGAAAUUUUUACUUUAUUCUUUAAUGCAGCGAUCUGAAGAUGAAGACAAGCGAAGAAGACAAUAGUCAGUCCACCACCACCAUCUCCACCAACACCACUAACUCUGAUUAACCCAACCGACACCUUCUCCAUUCAUAAUCUUUAAAAAUAAUUUAACUCGUCCUUCAAAGAAGCUGCUAGAACUUCAGUAAAUUUUGGAUAAAGAGGUAACCCUCUUCCAGUCCUAUAUAAAGGGACCCUACCUUGCCAUAUUUCACUCACCAAGGAACAAGAAACUAAAUGAGUACUUAUUUAAUUUUUUCAAUAUACGGAUCCGUGUACGUGAUCAAACAGUGAGUGUGAGCUUGUGCAUUGUCAUUCUUGUAAAAUCCUGCUUUUGGUUGUUUUUGAGAGUGUGGUGGAAAAUAUGGCAAGAUUUAGGGUUAUUGCUGGUGCUACAUUCUUGAUUAUGCUCCUUGUGGACAUGUCCUUUGCUGCUAGACAAUCAAAGGCUUUGGAUAGAGGAGGUGCUUCUGGGUCGGGUUCUGGUUACGGGUCAGGGAGUGGGGCGGGGCAUGGCAGUACACAAGGAUAUGGUAGAGGAGGUGGUGGAGGAGGAGGGGGCGGAGGCGGAGGUGGAGGUAGUUCUGGGUAUGGGUCGGGUAGCGGGUACGGGUCUGGGUAUGGAAGUGGAGGAGGAAACGGUGGUGGUGGCGGAGGCGGUAGAGGAGGUGGUGGUGGUGGAGGCUCCGGAAUAGGUGGUGGGUCCGGGUAUGGAAGCGGGUCCGGAUAUGGAAGUGGGUACGGAAGUGGUGGAGGUAGAGGAGGAGGCGGUGGCGGAGGAGGAGGAGGUGGAGGCGGUGGCGGUGGAGGAAACGGUUCAGGCUAUGGUAGCGGAUCCGGAUACGGUGGUGGAGAAGGAGAUGAUGAAUUGCCAUGAACGGGAUGAACAUGAAGAUUUCUGUUUCACUAGAUAGCAAUUGCAUAAUUCUUCAAUCCCACCUACUGCCUGCUGGCAUUCGUAACAUUCUCAAAUAAAAUUGUAGCGUAUUCAUCUCGUGCAUAUUGCUUAUGCAUGCAUGCACGGAGGGAACGUUGCACUUCUUUCUGCAUGCUUACUCUAUCUACUAUAUAUGUCAGUGUCAUUGUUAUUUAUUAUUAUUUUUUUCUUUUUGAAUAUAUAUUUGUCAUUGUUAUCAUCAAAUGUUAUUGACUUAUUGCUAAAAUAUUAUACAAAUAAAAAUUUAAUUACUUGGCGAUUUGUUUAAUACACGUGGUAAUUAGCAACUUUUUACAUGCCCUAUUCAUAUUUGCCGUCAAUAAUCGUAUCGCUAGUGACUCAGGCAAUUUUGUUCUAUAAUAACAUCCCCUUUUUCGAUUAAAAAGGCGAACGAACAUCUUCGCAGUUUGUGAUAGGAAUCCCCAGUAGCAAAACGUAACGAAAUUACACCUAUCUUCUUUCCAUUUUUUCACAAUUUUAAAUGGGUUUACCCUUCCGACAUCUUUAGUAGGUAUAGGCUGAUUGAUAUGGAGGCUGCACAAAUUGGGUAUCUAAGCUACAGUUCUAACCUGAGUUUGUUCUUUAGCGUUACUAUUUCUAUUAACGUUUUGUCAGCCUUCAGUUUCUUUAGUAUGUUUAUAAUAUUUAUGUAGGAUCUUACACGCUUACUAAAUUACAUAUAAUAUAUCUUAGUUGUUCAUAACUUUCUAGUAAUUUCACAGGUUGUCAUUCUCUUAUAUUAAGUGAACGACUUUUGGGUUAUUGUAAGUUACAUAUUAUAUGUAACUUAGCAAAUGUCAUUUAUGUAUGUCUUUGAAAUUACAGAAAUUCUGUUGCUCGACAUUUUCAGCAACACUAGAUGCAAUGAGAUUAUAACCUAGAAAAUGAAACAAAGAUUUGGAAAAAGAAAGUACCUUGGUAUCAUCAAGGAAGGCUAGCUCAUACAGUUCCUCGAAAAGAAAGAACGCCGGCAACUGAUUUUGAAGAAUGAGAUCAAAGCUCAGGAAAUGAUCUACUUGACCUUAAUAACAUCUCAUUAAAGCUUAAAGAUGCAAAAACAAAGAAUCAGUUACGAUCAAAUUCACGAAUCAUCACUCGAAAAAGAAAAUAGGACCAUAAUGAAAUGUCCGGUACCACAACACAACACAGCUAAAUACUAAAUUUCUGAGGCUAUUACAAUAUUAUAAACUGUAUUUAUUUCCACUGUCAGCUAGUUAAAAUGUUAUAAUAAUCUUUUAGUAAACUACUUGUCUUAUGAUUUACAAUAUUGUAGUAAAAGUCUAAUUAAUUAUUUACAAUAUUAUAAACAGUGUCCUGAUCUUUUUAAUUAAAGUCCGAACUCUCCGAUUGAAAUUUUUUUCUAUAUAUAUAUAACACGUCUUUGAACAUUUUUGAAAUUCUAAUGAAACCUGGCCUUUACUUUUAUUUUCCAUAGCUUUACUACUGAAUAUUAAUAAAAAUUGACAAAAAUAAUUCGAAUUAAAAUUACAAAUCAUUUCUUUCUGCAAUGAUAAACGGUUAGGAGCUUUGCCACCACCAAUGUGUAGAGCUGCUUACGUUCCUAUGCAAAAUUGAUCAGGUGGCUGAGUACCGCCAAACGCCGCCGUUCAACGGGACGUCCCCACACCCCCCCCCCCCCCCAACAAAAAAAACUUCUAGUUGUUUAAUAAUUAAUAAUUUACUUAAUUUGUUUUAUUCAUUAAUUAUGAAUUUACUAAAACAUAUUAGUUAGUUAAUAAAAAUUUGAUGUAAAAAUUUUUCUUCACCAUCAAUUUUAUACAGCUAAAACGUGACUAGUAUCAAAUGUAGCUAUGGCUUCAAAACAAGGACGGAUAUUCGUUCUUGUAGGCUAUAUUUACUUUAUAUUACGUGCUGAUCAUCAUUAAUGAUCAGAUGAUAACGUACGAAACCACUAGUAAGCAAUUUUUGAUAACUUGAUAUGCAUGAUCAAGGAUGUUUAUUAAAAAAAUGUAUUUGAUUAGUGAACGAAAUUGUGCAUAAUUAUUAGAAAUGAAAGUGCAUAGAGAGCUAGGUGGUUCAAUUCACAACAAAGUUAUUAACCGGAGGAAUUCUAUAAUAUAUCAAAUGUGAUACAAUCAACUAAUGCAUAUACGAGAUGUGUCAUUGAAUUUAAUAUAACCAUCACAUGUAUGGUAUUUUCUAAAAAUAAAUGCACACAUGUCAUAACAUUAUUUACUUGUUGUAUGAUUGUCAUGAUAUGUGUAAUGUAUUCUCGAAUAAUCCAAUUUCUCCAGCAAAUGAUGAAAAAAAAGAAGAAGAAAUAGACCUAUUGUAAGAAAAAACAAACACAGUGAGUUAAUCAAAUAAAACCAAUAGGUAAAUUAACUGCAGCAAUGUAAACAGCAACUGGAAAUCACAACUGGAAAAGCAGCAAGGAAAAGAAAAAUCGAAACAGAAAAUGAAACCCGAGGCCUGUACAAGACAGUUUCCUUAAAAUAGAUUUACCACCUACUGAAGUGCUUUAGGUUUGCUGGUAACUGUUUCCCAGGAUACAACGGGCACGAAUUUUCGGUCAAGCACAGAUAGGUAAUUCCGGCGAACCACAACAGUGGCAAACUCGAUCAGAAAAACAGACGAAAGAAUGAAGAAAGAGAAAUUGCAAGUGCUCUGUGUGCUGGUUUCAGUGUGUGCAAAAACAAAAGAGAAGGUGCCUUUUUAUACUCAUGUGAGGAUGUAACAGCAACAUUGUAUUGAAUUUUUGAAUUCAAUAUAUGCCAUUAAAUAGUUAUAACAGCCAAUUGGGCUGACAUUCGCGUGCGCAGGACGCGACGAGUUCAACCAAAUCGGUCUUGGAUUUGCACCCCCCUGCGCAUGCGCGUGUGGAGAAAUCCUCUAUCCUUAUAAUUCUUACUCAUGCAUAGUUAAGUAUUUAUAUAUAAACACUAAUCCCUUGGCUUCUUUUUCCCAUGUGGGAUAAGCCUCAUUUCCUUUUAAAUUUCCAACUUCAAGGGUAAACUUUGGGAGACAAUUUCUCAUUCACCCAAGCACCAUUUUGAGAAAAUAAAAUUACAUUUUUGAAGUAUUAAUGGAAUAGAAUCCGAACCUCACAAGAUUUCUCACUUUCGCUAAGUGAGACCCACUCAAAAUGUGCCCUUAAAAUAGCAUAUAGACUUGCUAUUUUUUGAACACCUAUCAUGUUCUUGAAUGCAAGACGCCAUGAUUGAAAGCAUGCUAUGCAAAUAUGAAAAAUGGCAGAUGCAAAAUAAGAAUUGAAAUUAGGGAUGAUAUAUUUGUCGUGCAUGCCAGUUGUCAACCUUGCAUUUGAAGAAAUAAGGAUAUCAAUAUGACAAUAUCCCACUAAAAUUCAUCAAGAUGAUUUUGAUAAGGAAUUUUGAUAGGCGUGUUAGUGGAAGUGUUUAUGCCUUAGGAUUUUUUGGGGUCAAUUUCCACAAAUAAACUAAAAUAAUUUACAAAAGGGAUGCAAUUCCUACAUUCUUAAGAAGACAAAUGUUGCAUACCAUCACCACAUGAGAAACUAGCAUUGGCAUGCAUGCACUGAAAGCGGUGUACUUCAAAUGUGAACAGAUUAACAAACUGGUGCAGAAGCAUUAAGCAUUAAGCAUGCACAUGCAUUACAAUGGUCCCCUUCAAUUCAAAAAUGCUAUGGAAAUCGUAUGUUUUAGUUUAGGACCCCUUUAAAGUCAAAAGUAGAGAGAGAGAGAGAGAGAGAGAGAGAUUUAACUUUAUUCUUUAUAUGCAAAGAGAGAGAGAGAGAUGUGGCGGUGAGGCGAAGACAAGGAAACAAGAUAAUAGAGUACACAUCCACAAUAUCACCGUCACCACCAACACCACUAACUCUAACCCACAGAGACACGUACGUUCUCUACUUAUAAUCUUUAAAAUUACUUAAAUGCUCUUUCAAAGAAGCUAGAAUUUCGGCAAACGUUGGAUAAAGGUAACCCUUUUCAGUCCUAUAUAUAGGGACCCUACCUUGCCAUAUAAUUCACUUAUCAGCAAGAAAUAGAGAUUAAGUAGUUUUGCAUGUAUUGAGUGUGUGUUUAAGUAAACAGUGAGUGAGCUUUGUACGUUGUUGCACUUCUUGUAAACCCUACGUUUGAGUUUUUGAGAGUUCGGAAAAUAUGGCAAGGUUUAGGGUGAUUAUUGGUGUAGCGUUCUUGAUUAUGGUCCUUGUGGACUUCUCCUUUGCCGCUAGACAAUCAAAGGCUUUACAUGGAGGAGGUGGCGGAGGAGGAGGUGGAGGCAGAGGAGGUGGUGGAGGAGGCAGUUUUGGGUCGGGGAGUGGGUUUGGGUCUGGUAGUGGAUAUGGGUCUGGGUAUGGAAGUGGUGGAGGAAACGGUGGAGGUGGUGGAGGCGGAGGUGGUAGAGGAGGUGGCGGUGGUGGAGGCUCCGGAGUUGGAGGUGGGUCUGGAUAUGGAAGCGGGUCUGGAUACGGAAGUGGAUAUGGAAGUGGUGGAGGUAGAGGAGGAGGAGGCGGUGGAGGAGGAGGAGGAGGAGGAGGAGGCGGAGGAGAAGGCCAUGGUGGCGGAUCUGGAUAUGGGUCGGGCCAGGGCUCCGGAUACGGUGGUGGAGGAGGUGAUGAAUCCCCAUAAACAUGAACACAUGAAGGUUCCUGUUUCAUUAGGUAGCAAUUAGCAAUGCACUCUUCAAUCCCACUUUUCACUUUUGGCAUUAGUAAUUCUCAAAUAAAAUUGUAGCGGAUUCACUUUAUGCAUACAUUUCACUUUUGGCAUUUGUAAUUCUCAAAUAAAAUUGUAGCGGAUUCACUCCUUGCAUGCGGUUUGUGCAUGCAUGGUGGGGAAAGUUGCAUUUCUUUCUGCAUGUGUCUCUACGAUACUGCUAUACACAUGCUUUGUUAUUACCAAGGUUUAUUGAUACAUCAAUGCAAAAUAAAAAUUUACCCGUGUGCUAGUUAUAGCAUUAUUCAACCAGCCCUUGUAUACAUUUCACACCCAUAUCUAUGGAAGUUUCGAAACCAUGAACGUUUUGUCUACAUCCUUAUAUUCAAGUGAAACGGUUUGUUGAACAAAAACAUUGCUGUAC